GAUAAUUAAGCUACAGUAAAACUCUGUUAAUGAUGCCACGUCACCUCCGUUACUGUUGCUAAUCUCUUGUUAGAUCAAAACCGAUUCGAAGUAUCAAUUCAAAAUAUGGCAAACAACAAAAGUUUUCAAAACAUUGUAACAAAAAAUUUCGGUGGGUGCCCAAUAUUGCACUGGUAAUUAUUGUGGAGAAAACUCAUUUUUAGAAAUUGCCUAAAUAUUUGAAAAUGAUUUAAAACAGAAAAGAAAAUAAAUAAAAGGAAAAUAAUAAAAAACAGAAAACAAAACAAAAGAGAAAUAGAAAAGCCCCCCACUGGGCUCCGGCCCAGCAGGCCACCGACCCAACUGGGCAAAGGCCAACCGGACCAGCCCCCUGCCAUCCUCCUUUCCAUUUCCCCCGACAGGGUCAGAACAGGGGCGCGUCCCCGCCCGACCACCUCGCCGGCACCGACACCGGGAGGGGAUUAGGCCGCCACGCCCCGCCUCCUCAGUUCCUUCUUCCUCUCACCCGCACUCCCUCUCGGCCCCUUCGCCUCCCCUCCCCUCAGAUCCACCUCGCCGCUCCUCCUUCCCCAUCGCAUCCGAGCGCCGCCACGGGCUCUCCACCGUGAAAUGUGCGGCCACCGUCAUCUCCUCACCUCGCCAACGUGUCCGUCGUCUCCACCAUCGUCUUCCUCGUCGACCAGUGGCCGAAGCUAGAGCUUGGAGGCGCUGCUGCACCGGUUCCUCUUCUUCCACAUCUCCAGUCGCCACCGCUCUUCACCAACUCCGGCGACGUAACGGCAGGUCCUAAACCACCAUGGGCCAUUGUGUGAGCCGCUCGAUGAGCUCGUCCACCUCCUUCUCCUUCCCAUUAGCUCCCUCGCGCGCCGCAGCUAGCUUGCCACUGCGCCCGUAAUCUGUCCGCCGCCAACGAGCUCAUGGCCGUCGCCACAGCCGUCAUCAUGCUCGCCUGAGCCCGUCAGCGUGCUCCUGGCGCUUCCAGGAACCCAACGCACCCGUGCACGCGCUUCCCCGUGGCCCUUAUGCCCUAGCUCAUCGAGCUCCCGUAUGCGUCGCCGCCCACGCUCAUCGCCGGCAGCCGUCCGGUGACCAUUUGGUCCCGGGCUCGUGUCGUUGUGCUCGCGCGUGCACAUAGGGCUCGCCUCGUCUCUCAGUUUGCUCGCUAAUGCGUUGCAUCGCCAUUUCCUCUCGCGCCCGACUCCGGCCGUCCGCCGAUGAGCUCACCGCGCUCGACAUCGGUCACCCCUGUCGCCACAACCACCACUGUUCGACGCGCGAUGCCGAGCCGCGUUGAACGCGCCCAACCAUAGCCCACCGACCCCUGUGCGCGAAAUCCGCACCCCUCUCAUGUCGCACCACCGCAUUUUGCCUCACCAAUGUCGCUCCAGCGCCGUCCGCCAACGUGGCUAGGCGGGCCCCACCCUUGGGUCACUGCCAGUGGGCCAUGGGGGCCCCGUUGACUUGGUUGACCCAGUCAACAUGCUGACUGGUUAGCCCAGUGGCACUGACAUGCGGGCCCACCACGUAAUUAAACUAAUUAAAACGUUUUUAUAAAUAAAACUAAUUAAUUAACCUAAACAGUCACUGGCAUGUGGGGCCCUACUGCUAAUUAACUCUGACUAAUUAAAAUAAACCCUUGUUAGCCCCACUGUCUAUGACGAGUGGGCCCCAUUCGUCAUUUUGACCAGUCAAACAGUGUGUUGACUGCUGAUGUCAUCCCCACGCAAUGCUGAUGUCAUAAUUCCAUUUCUGUUAAUUCAGAUAAAUUCAGAAAAUGAUUAAAACUUUAGAAAAACAUAGAAAAUAAACUGUAACUCGGAUGAGAAUGUUUUCUACAUGAAAGUUGCUCAGAACGACGAGAUGAAUGCGAAUACGCAGCCCGUUUGUCCGCCACACAUCCCUAUCAUAGCAAACACGUAACUUUCCCCCUCUUGUUCAUUUGUCAGAAAACAUGAAACACCGGGAAUACUUUCUCGGAUGUUUUCCCCCUUCGCCGGUAUCACCUCCUACCGCGUAAGGGCACACCUAGCAACGCUCAUUGUCAUGUCAUGCAUCGAUAUGCAUCUGUUUGCAUUUAUUCAUUGUUUCUUCCCCCUCUUCUCCUCGGUAGACUAGAGACUGACGCUGCUGAUGGUGCCCUGAUCAACUAUGUUGUUGAUGACCCCUACUUGCCAGAGCAACCAGGCAAGCCCCCCUGAUCACCAGAUAUCGCCUAUUCUUCUCUCUACUGCUUGCAUUAGAGUAGUGUAGCAUGUUACUACUUUCCGUUAAUCCUAUUCUGAUGCAUAGCCUGUCAUUGUUGCUACAAUUGUUGAUACCUUACCUGUAAUCCUAAAUGCUUAGUAUAGGAUGCUAGUUUAUCAUCAGUGGCCCUACAUUCUUGCCAGUCUGCCAUGCUAUAUUAUCGGGCCGUGAUCAUGUCGGGUGUUGAUCACAGGUAUAUACUAUACAUAAUACACAUGAUAUAUGUUGUGACUAAAGUCGGGUCCGCUCUUUGAGUACCCGAAGUUGAUUCACAAAUUCGGGGUUGAAAGGACAUACUUUCCCGACGACCCUCUGUGUGGAUCUUUGUGGCGGAGUGACAGGGCAGGUUGAGACCACCCAGGAGAGAGGUGGGCCUGGCCCUGGUCGGCGUUCGUGGUUACUUCAAGAUAACACGCUUAACGAGAUCUUGGUAUUUGAUCUGAGUCUGGCCACUGGCCUAUACACACUAACCAACUACGCGGGAACAGUUAUGGGCAUUUGACGUCAUGGUAUCAGCCGAAGCCUUCGUGACGUCAGUGACUGAGCGGCGCACGCCGGGUUGGACCGCAUAACACAACUUCCUCUGUAAUGGAGGUUGCUAGGUCUGCUCACCGGCCGCGCACGCAACGUGUAGGUGUGCAAUGGACGAUGGGCCCAGACCCCCGUGCCAUAGGAUUUAGACCGACGUGCUGACCUCUCUGUUGUGCCUAGAUAGGGCUGCGACGUGUUGAUCUUCCGAGGCUGGGCAUGACCCAGAAAAGUGUGUUCGGACAAAGGGGAUCGAGCGUGUUGGGAAAUGUGGUGCUGUGAUAGCCUGGCUUAUUAGGGAUGAUAGACUACUCAUAUCAAUAAGGAAUUCCUUCUUUUUCGGGAGCCCAUUCAGACAGAACUCCAAAGUUAAGCAUGCUCAGUUUGGAGUAGUGUCAGGAUGGAUGACCGACCGGGAAGUUGCUCCCGGGUGCGCACGAGUGAGGUCAAAGUGCACAGAAAAGACUAGUAUUGAUCUAUGGGGCCAGUAUAGAUCCCGCUAGGAGUAACGACCAUCGAUGGGUGUGUCCGAGGCGUUACAAGUUGGUAUCAGAGCCGACCCUCGCGGUUACACGGAUGGUUGUGGACAGGUGCGUGGUCAUGUUGUUCAUGACGUUUGUGACCCGUCGUGGCACCCGGCAUGGCACAUGUACCGGACUGGAAGCACAGACGUUUGUGCCAAGAGGGAACGUUCCUGUGGCCCGACGAGGACGUCAGUUCCUCUGAGUGGGGGUGUAUGUGAUAGCCUGGCUUAUUAGGGAUGAUAGACUACUCAUAUCAAUAAGGAAUUCCUUCUUUUCCGGGAGCCCAUUCAGACAGAACUCCAAAGUUAAGCGUGCUUAGCUUGGAGUAGUGUCAGGAUGGGUGACCGACCGGGAAGUUGCUCCCGGGUGUGCACGAGUGAGGUCAAAGUGCGCAGAAAAGACUAGUAUUGAUCUGUGGGGCCAGUCUAGAUCCUGCCAGGAGUAACGACCACCGGUGGGUGUGUCCGAGGUGUUACAGGUGCACCCCUGCAGGGAAGUUGAUCUAUUCGAAUAGCCGCAUCCCUUGGUAAAAGGAUGACCCGGAGUUGUACCCUGACCUUAUGACAACUAGAACCAGAUACUUAAUAAAACACACAGUUCCAAGUGCCAGAUACAACCCGGUGAUCGCCCUCUAACAGGGCGACGAGGAGAGGAUCGCUGUGUAGGAUUAUGCUAUACGAUGAUACUUGGUGAACUUACCAUCUAUUCUCUUCUACUGCUUCAAGAUGGAGGCUGCCAGAAGCGUAGUCUUCGAUAGGACUAGCUAUCCCCCCUCUUAUUCCGAUAUUAUGCAGUUCAGUCCACAUAUACUACCCCCUUUCAUUGAUAAAAAUGCAUAUGUAGUGUAGCUCCUUGCUUGCGAGUACUUUGGAUGAGUACUCACGGUUGCUUUGCUCCCCUUUCCCCCCUUUGUAUAUCCGAUUGUUGCGAUCAGACCUUGGAGUGCAGGAGCCAGAUGCUACUGUCGAUGAUGACUGCUACUACUCGGGACAUGCCUACUACUAUGUGCAGGCCACUGACGAUGACGAGGAGUAGUUUAGGAGGAUCCCAGUCAGGAGGCCUGCGCCUCUUCCAAUCUGUAUCCCAGUUUGUGCUAGCCUUCUUAAGGAAAACUUAUUUAACUUAUGCCUGUACUCAGAUAUUGUUGCUUCCGCUGACUCAUCUAUGAUCGAGCUCUUGUAUUCGAGCCCUUGAGGCCCCUGGCUUGUAAUAUGAUGCUUGUAUGACUUAUUUUAUUUGUAGAGUUGUGUUGUGAUAUUGUCCCGUGAGUCCCUGAUCUUGAUCGUACACGUUUGCGUGUAUGAUUAGUGUACGAUUGAAUCGGGGCAUCACAAGUUGGUAUCAGAGCUGACUGCCUAUAGGAAUCCCCCUUCCACACUCCUUGGCUGAAGUCGAGUCUAGACAUUGCAAAACUUUUUACUAACAUGGUUGUGUGUCUUACGGGCCCAUGUCGCCAAUUGGGUGGUAUUAGGAUCUUUUACUCCUCGAUCCUUACUCUGGGACUCUGAACUCUCUUCUACUCGGGUUAAACAAAUUUACUAACUCUAACAUUAGGAUCCCAUGACCAUGUUCACCCAAAAGUUGGAUAAGCCCUAGUUAUUUCUUAGAAUAGUAUAUUGAACAAUAUCCACACUGUCAUUUGACUCCUUUGAAACAUCUUUGUUUUCAGAUGGAACCCACGAGGCAGGUCGUGCGCCACACAACGGCCAUUGGUGUCUCGGGAUCACUUGCUCUGUUAGCUGAGAUGAUAACCUAUCUGGGUUAUCGCUGGCACCCUGAGUACACCGUCUACGAGGAGUACCAGGACUUUAACCAGGAGCAGUACCGUGCCAUCGUCCACCUCUACUCUCGGGAGUAUGACUCCACUACCGUGCUGCACACUACUCAUGGUGUUGGAGUGACUAUCGACAUGGCAGUCCACGAUGCUGCUUAUGCUGCUCUGACACGUCUUUGUGAAGAGUAUCGGGAGUUGGACACCUCCCCUUUCAGGCACAUUGCUAUCGCAUCCAAUGUUGGUGCGGAGGGAUACUACACUGCUGCCUACUCCACUGUCAACCGAGAGCCCUUCUACCAUCAGAACCUGGUUCUGCAUGCUGAUGGGCUAGAUAGAGCUAACUGAGCUCUUUGCCAUGAGUUGUACACCACCUGUCAGCACCUGUACUGUGCUCUAACACUAUUGCACCCCUUGUCCGAUCUGGUGAUCUGUCGCGUUCUGUGAUCUACCCUGCCAGGACAGUGAUGCCCUAGGGUGUCGGCUGACCAGAUGUUCGAGGCUACUCUCCCACACUUGGUCCUCUUCUGCCACUUGCGCAUCGGGUUCUGCACCAGAGUAUCCGUGGACCCCAGGCUACUGACAUGGAGGACUUCCCGUCGCAUCACUAGCAGCUGGCCGGCUACACCUACCUCCACAGUUCCUCUUAGGGUUGAUGUAGGCUUGCUUGUUAGUGUUAGAUGCAUUCGCCGCGAGCCUGCGUGCCGCCUAUGAUGUCUUUAGUCUAUGUACUGAACUCUAUGUACCGAACUCUAUGCAUGAUCCCUUUUGUAAGAUAUGCCGACUACUAUGUAGUAUCUACCGUGCUUCUUUCAUUGUGCAUUCUUCAUCCUGAAUGAUGUUUGUCUUUGCAAAUUUCUCAAUGCUGAACUACCCUUGUUAUAUUUUAGCAAGGUGGUUAGACCAGGUGGUCGUGGUCGUGGUGGCCAUCCCCCACCACCGCCUGAGUACAUGGCGAGGAUGAUGCAACAGUUCGAUCUGAAUCGCCAGUUCAUGGAGAAUAUUAUGGCUUAGUUUCCUCGCCCCAAUAUGAACCAGCAGCCAGCCCAAGUGACUCUGCAGGAUUUCAUGCGCCUCAACCCAACUGUGUGCCACAUCUCAACUUAGCCUCUGGAUGCUAAUGAGUGGCUCCGUGACAUCACCUAUGAGAUGGAGUCUGCUGAUGUAGCCCCUGCCAGCUAUGUCACCUUUGCUUCCUUCUUCUUGAAGGGACCCGCUGCUCAAUGGUGGGAUAGCCACAGGCGUACUCUGCCGGUUGGAAAAAUCAUCACUACAAAAAAAGACACAUCCGUGACAUUUUGGGCCAAACGAUUUUUUUCUAUCAUACAUAUGACACUUCUAUGAUGAUAAUUGUGCCAAAACCCGGUAUCAUCAUAGAUGUGGUGGGCUCCUACUUCUAUGACAAAAAAUCAUGACAUAAAAUGGUCUUUUCAUCCUGGGCGGGCCGGAGACGCAGCUGCAUGACAUUCUUUGGGCCGUCCAUGACGGAAAAAACCGUGGUAGAAGCGAGGGCGAGGAAAAUUUCGGGGAGUUCCCGGUUACAGUGGGAGGUCGGGGGCCGAGCGAUGCGUGUUUCUCUCGUACACGUACGAGCGUGUGUGCGAGGCGUUGGCUCUAACUGAACCCGAGCAAGGCGUUGGGCUCUAACUGAACCCCAGCGAUUGCACUGCAGGCUAUGCGUUAUUGAACCCGAGCGAUCUAUCGAUGGCUGUUAACUGAACCCGANNNNNNNNNNNNNNNNNNNNNNNNNNNNNNNNNNNNNNNNNNNNNNNNNNNNNNNNNNNNNNNNNNNNNNNNNNNNNNNNNNNNNNNNNNNNNNNNNNNNNNNNNNNNNNNNNNNNNNNNNNNNNNNNNNNNNNNNNNNNNNNNNNNNNNNNNNNNNNNNNNNNNNNNNNNNNNNNNNNNNNNNNNNNNNNNNNNNNNNNNNNNNNNNNNNNNNNNNNNNNNNNNNGUGGAGGCUGGAUGAACAGGAGCCCAUGGAGGCUGGAGGAGGUCGACGGUAGCCCGUCGAGGCUGGAGGAGGUCGACGGUGGAGAUGAACAGUAUCCCGUGGAGUCCCGUUUUGCGGUAUGCCACACCCCUCCCGAUGAACAGGACCCCCGUUUCGAUUGUAGGAGGUCUGUUUCGUCCGUUUUGCGGUACGCCACACCCCUCCCGAUCAACAGGACCCCCGUUUCGACCGUAGGAGGUCCAUUUCGUCUGUUUGGGGGUACGCCACACCCCUCCCGAUCAACAUGACCCCCGUUUCGACCGUAGGAGGUCUAUUUCCUCCGUUUUGCGGUACGCCACACUCGUCCCGAUCAAUAGGACGCCGUUCCGAACAUAGGAGGUCUGUUUCCUCCGUUGUGCGGUACGCCAGGCCUCGUUUCCAUCGCAUGUUCCGUCCAAGCCCUCCCGAUGAACACGACCACACAUUCCUUUCCGACCCAGCCGGUUGGCUCCCACGCGUUCCGUUGCCUCCCGAUGAACAUGACGGAUUCCGUUGCCUCCCCAUGAACACGACGCAUUCCGUUGCCUCCCCAUGAACACGACGACAACGCUGUUUCUUUGUUCCGACCCAACCAUGUACACGAGCCCUGGCCAUACGUAUGCGCGAGUAGGCGUUUGAGACCCCGCUCGUAUGUACAUAUGUGGCCGUAUUUUCUUUCUUGCACCCUGGCCGCUGUACGUACGUGUACAUGCUACGUGCGCGCCUCUACUACGACACGUAUGCGCCUCUACUACGACACGUGCGCGCCUCUACAUCCACCAGUAUAUAUGUACGUACACGUUCGCGACCAGAAUGACAACGCUACGUACGCUUCGACCAGGUGGGUCCCGACUAUCAGACACUUCCUUGCCUGCGAAGAUGUAGCUGGUGGGUCCCAGCAGUCAGGGGGGCGAAUCGUUUUUUUGCCUGGACGCACUUCCUUGUGUGCGAAGAUGUAGCUGGUGGGUCCCACCAGUCAGGGGCAAACAUUUUUUCGUGAAAUACGGUGGCCCGUCUGGUGGGUCCCCGCUGUCAGGUGGAGGAAUAAUUAUUCUGCACACAAUAAGGAGGCACUUCCUUGCUGCGGCCGUGGACCCAGCUGUUAGCCUCUCCACGUAUAGUCCACGUCCGAUAGAAUCCGUUCCUUGACCACGUUGACCACGCCGCACCGAGAGCACCAGGGCGGUGGACGACGGCGAGGCCUAGGAAGGGGAUGACACGGAGCCGGGGAAGACGCGACAGUGGAUGCCCAUGCGUAGAGGAGUACGAGGGUUCACUGGUUUGCUGCGGUGUGAGGCUAUCGUCGUCGCAUAAUAACAGGGGGUGUGGGUGAGUAGAGGGAUGGCCUGGCCAGCAGUGGGAGUAGUAGGGGGCGGUGAGGCCUCCGCCGCAUCGCAGCCGGCCACGGGAGGCAGGAGCACGAGGCACAACCGGUGCUGGUUUGGGCGGCUGGAGCAAGAAGACCAGAGGUUGAAGAAGCACUACGGCCAUUGGAUGGACAUCGUACGGUCACUGGAGCUAGAAUCGUGCAUAUUGACUAAGUUGACAAAGCCCUCCGUCCCCGUCAACUUAGUAGGCCACAAGUCAGCCUGCCACUAUACUGGGUCCCAGCUAACACGGGGAGUAUUCAUUUUUUUGUGCGUAAUAAGGAGGCACUUACUUGCGUGCGAAGAUAUAGGUGGUGGGUCCGAGCUGUCAGCGGCGGUAACGUUUUUUUCGCGAAUUACAGAGGAACUUUCGGUGGGUCCCUGAUGUCAGGUGGAGGAAUCAUCAUUUUGGGCGUAAUAAGGAGGCAUUUCCUUGCGUGCGGCCGUGGACCCAGUUGUCGGCCUCUCCACGUACAGUCCACUUUAGAUGCAUGUCGGUCGUUGACCACGUUGACCAGGCCGUGCCGAGAGCACCAGGGCGGUGGACGACGGCGAGGCCUGGGAAGGGAACGACACGGAGGCAGGGAAGACUCGACAGUUGUUUCCCACGCGGAGGGGAGUACGACUGUACGAGGGUUUAUUGGUUCGUCUGCCGUGGCCAGAGAAUAACAACAGGUGUGGGUGAGUAGAGGGAUGGCUAGGCCAGUGAUGGGAGUACGGUGGGGCGGUGAGGCCUGCGCGGCAGCAGAGCCGGCCGCGGGGAGGAGGGAGCAGGCAGUCCCGCCGGUGCUUGUUUGAGCGGCUGGAGCAGGAAGAGCAGAGAUUGAAGAAGCACGACGGCCAUUGGAUGGCCAUCCAACAGUCACUGCUUGUGCGUCAACCUUUUUUUAAGAAAGCCUUAAAUCUAUGGAAAACAACGUACAUCCCAUCUGCCAUUAUUUCUAAUAAUUUACAGCCCAUUUGCUAAUUAUUAAGGUUUUUUUGGAUCCCAUAUUCUUUUUGUUAGCAUUACAGCCCAUAUUGUGGCCAUGGUUAAAAAAUUAUACGAAAUUUUGCUUAUUUUGGUGCGGUCCAAACUAUUUUUAGUCCCGAAAUUUCAACUCACAUUCAAACUGAUUUUAAAAAUAAAUGUAUAUCAAUAUAAAAUCCAACAAAUUCUCCAUGCAUAAACAUUAAUGUAAUUUAAAAUCUCAAAAUAAAAAAAGAUAUUUGAAACUAAUUGCCGGUUUUAUGUGUUUUAAAAAUGUACAACCCAUUUCUCAUUACUGAUGGGCCAUUUUCUCGGCCAGCCGAAUGAAAGCUCUCCUUGUCUUGAAAGAUUUGCAGCCCAACAUGCCUGACAAAGCAACUUACUUGGAAAAUCACAAAAAAACUGGCCUGUGGCUGUGGACCCAGCUAUCAGCCUCUCCUCAUACAGUACUCUUCCGAUGGAAGUCGUUCCUUGACCAUGUUGACCACGCCGCGUGGAGAGCACCACAGCGGUGGACGACGGCGUGACCUAGGAAGGGGACGACGCGGAGCCGGGGAAGAUGCGGCAGUGGAAGCCCAUGCGGAGAGGAGUACGAGGGUUCACAGGUUCGGCUGCGGUGUGAGGCUGCCGUCGCCGUAGGGCCUGGCCAGCGGUGGGAAUAGUAGGAGGUGGUGAGGCCUCCACAUCAGCAUAGCCGGCCACGAGAGGCAGGAGCAUGCGGCACGACCGGCGCUGCUUUGGGCGGCUGGAGCAAGAAGACCAGAGGUUGAAGAAGCACUACGGCCAUUGGAUGGACAUCGUACGGUCACUGGAGCUAGAAUCGUUCAUAUUGACUAAGUUGACAAAGCCCUUCGUCCCCGUCAACUUAGUAGGCCCACAAGUCAGCCUCCCACCAAGGUGGGUCCCAGCUAGCCGUGGGAGUAUUCAUUUUUUGUGCGUAAUAAGGAGUCACUUCCAGUGGGUCCGAGCUGACAGUGGGGGAAACAUUUUUUUCACGAAAUACGGUGGCCCGUCAGGUGCGUCCCAGCAGUCAGGGGGCAAACGUUUUUUCACAAAAUACGGUGGCACGUCCAGUGGGUCCCUGCUGUCAGUUGGAGGAAUCAUUAUUUUCCGCGUAAUAAGGAGGCACUUACUUGCUGCGGCCGUGGACCCAGCUGAGACUCUCCAUGUACACUAUACUUCCGAUGGAAGUUGUUCCUUGACCACAUUGACCUCACCGCGUUCCGUUGCAUGCAUGCGUCCAUGGGCGUGGUGCGUCCCCACUGUCAGCCUCUCACGUAUAGUCAUCUUCCAAUGACUCUCGGUUACUGACCUAGUUGACCACACCGUGCCGAGCGCACCCAGACUGGAACGACCCGGAGAUGGGGAAGACGGGGCAGUGGAGUCGCAGAUGGAGAGGAGUGGGAAACUUCACUGGUUUGGGUGCGCGGCAGCACAGCCGCGGUGCUGCCCACGGGAGACAGGAGCAAGAACAGAGGUUGAAGAAGGAGCACGGCUGUUGGACUAACAUCCAACGGUCCAGCUGCUAGACUCAUUUGUUGAUUAAGUUGACAAAGCCGUGCGUACACGUCCGCUUAGUAGGCCCUCAAGUCAGUCACCAAAUCUGACGGGUCCCAGCUGUCAACGGGAUGAAUAAUUUUUUUCACAAAACAAGGAGGCACUUCCUUCCGUGCGAAGAUAGAGCCGAUGGGUCCCAGCUGUCAGGUGGAGGAAACAUUUUUUUCAGCUUAAUAAGAAGGAACUUUCCUUGCGUGCGACCAUGGACCUCAUGGGUCCCAGCCGUCAGGCUCUCCACGUACAGUCCUCUUCCGAUGACUCUUGUUUGUUGACCACGCCGCACCGAACGCAGUGAGGCGGUGGACGAUGGUGAGGCCCCAGACGGGAACGUCUCAGAGAUGGGAAAACGCAGCAGUGGAGUCGCAGAUUGAGAGGAGGAGAAGGGUUAUAACUGGUUCUGUUGCAGCGUGGGGAUGUAGUUUGUGGAGAAUAACAGGAGGUGUUGAGGGCUGGAGGGAUAGCCUGGCCGGCGGUGGGUAGCGCUUCGCAGUGAUGCGUGCUAAGCAGAGCCGCUAGCUGCCGGAGGCCGGACAAGGCGGUCUCGGCAACGCUGGAGGAAGAAGACGAGAGAUUGAAGGUGCAUGCCGGCCGUUGGAUAUAAAUCCAAUGGCUGUGGAUGACACAAUCAUUUGUUGACCAAGUUGACAAUGCCCUGCAUAGGCUUCGACCUAUUGGCCCACAUGUCAGCCUGCAAAAAUGUGGCAUAUAUUUAACCCAUGUUUUCUAGAAUGUACAGUCCAUUUGCUGGGCUGAGUGAACAAAUAAUUUCGUGUCAAUCAGGCCCAUUUAUAUUUUCUAAGAAAUCCCAGCCUAUUUGCACUUCCUUUAAAUACAUGUAUUAGGUGGGCUCGUUAUAUAUAUAAUGUUAUGUUAGAAGGAGCAAUUAAUAUCAAAGAAUAAACCGGAGAGGCACAUUAUAUAUAUAUAUAAUUAAUAAAUUAGCGAGUUAUUGCUCAAAAUAAAAAUGAGCGCGUUAUUAUUAAAUUGGUCCUUAAAAUCUUCGCAGGCUUUUGUACGCAAUCACCAGGAUUUUCCUUGCGUGUGAGUAAAAAACAACUAGGAUUUUCCUUGCCAACUUCCGUUAAACAUUUACUUUUAUAAGUUAAUAACACGUGGGAUGUUUUUAUAAUGUAUAUAUAAGUCUCUAUAAAAUAUACGAUAAUAGUAAUAAUAUAAAUAUAUAUAUAAUGUGGUUAGAAGGGAAAACAUAAAUUGGACACAUCAUUACUUUUAUAAGAGACCUGCGUUUUAUACCCCACAUUAGGCAUACUAACAAGUUUACACACAAAUACAACAGAAAAGGUUAACAUUCAUAUCAAACUCAGGUUCACAGGACACGUUCAUAUUCAUAGCCAACAUUCACUAUCAACAACUCAAAAGAUUCAUAUAUACACAAGCUCAGCAUAUCUAUGCAUCCAAAUGAUUGAUAGAUCACACGACAAUAUUCAUACAUAAUUCACAAAAAGAUUCAGAUAUACACAUGUUCAGUAUGUUUAUGCAUCCAAAUGAUUGAGAUCGCAAUCAAUAUGAUCCAUGGACAAACUUUAAUUACCUAGGAUACAGACUGGUAAAUGGUGUUCAAUCGGAGGUACUUCUUGCUAAAAUUAGUUCUCGUACGAGUAAACUUUCGAGUACAUAAGAGGCAACACAGACAAUCUGAACUUUGCUUGUAGGUUUAUCCUCAAAUAGUGGCCUCGUGCCGAGGGAGGUUUGAGCAACUUGGCCACUACUUUCAUCCAACUAGUUUACUGGCUCAUCUCGGUCCUCUAUCUCGCCAAGAUUCUACAUUGCAAACGAGAAAGGAGGCGGUUGAGAAAAUGAACCACCCAAAUUUUUUGUGCAGUUCAACUAAAAUGGAGCAUCCUUGGCAUGCAGACUGAUUAGGUGCCAGAUGAAUAUACGCGUCAACCAACUUGUCUGGAAUCUUUAGACUCCAUGCCAUAUAGUUCGCUACCAUAUGUGCCGAUAACCAAAAGGCACAAGUUGGGACCAAAGACUGGACUGUGUUUUUCUGGGCUAUGCACCAAGCAAUAUUUUUGGCGUUCACUCUCCUAAUACUUGGAGUUUGACAAUUGGUUGACGCCGGUUGAUACUCGAAUGAAUAUAGGCACUUCUUGUCAACAUCGAUGCUUGUCUGAGUGAACUUUGGAGUACGUAGCAGCAGCAUAAGUACUUGUCCAUCUGAUCAUUUUGUGCAGUUCUACUGAAAUCACCCGAUGUAAUGAGUUGCCUGCGAGUUCAGGCUCCAAAUUACUCCUUUAUGAAAUCGGCAAACAGUAGCACAAUACCAAAUUACCAAUACAUAUGACAGGCACAAUAAUCAGGAUAAAGACUAGUACCAACCUUGUGAGGUAGCAUAUCAAUUACUAUUUCCUUUGUCUGGAAGCCGAGAUAAGCCAAGCGACUGACGGCAAAGGAAGAAAGCAAGCGGAGAUUAGCGACUGACAGGAAAGGACGGAAGCUGUCGAGGCAAUGAAGCACCAAAAGUUUUUGUGCGGUUCCACCAAAAUCGAGCAUCCCUGUUGGCACAUAUAUUGAGAGAGUGAGAUUACUGUAAUAGUGGGACUAGUUGAUGAAACAUACACUAACAAAUAGAAGCACCCUCAUUAUCUUAAUGGGUAAAGUUAGCAACAUAGUAGUCUUGCUUAAAGAGAGGUAUUAGUUUAUUUAAUCAGUGCCAAUUAGCUCAACUCAACACUCAAAGCAUUGCCAUUUAUCAUAGGUUGCAAAACUUUAACGUGCAAAGAUAAAGGAGUUUCUCAUGACAGUAGCACGAUACAAAUAGAGAUGACAACAAACUAAUAUGGAUGAAGGCCUUAGGCCCGUACCAACCUGAGAAAAAAGAACUUAUUCAUGUAGUCCCAUAAGAAAUGAUAAAGCACUCACUGGAAUCACACAAUAGUAUAUAUUUUUGUGCACUUCAAAUGUAUGGUUGAAAUCACUGUUGUUUACCAGUGCUGAGAUUAUAUCAAAAGAUUAUCAAGAACUUCCAGCAGAGUUAAAGCACUGGCUGGGAUACAGUUCAUUGUAUUGUCUUAUGUAGUUCCACUAAAAUGUAUGAUUGGCACAACAUGAUCCCUGUUUGCACAAGUAGGAACAAGGUGAAACCUUCAUUAGCUUAGUGAGAAAGGAUAGGAAGGCAUUAGCAUAUUACUCAAACAGUAGCAUAAAAUUCAUGAUGGACAAUACGCAAAACAUUGCCUCAUUGAACCAAUGGCAAUAAAUUGACAUGCAAAACAAUAGCACUAUUAUGUCAUGACACUAAUAAUAUUCCCUCCCUGCUCCACCACAUGAUUCACCUCCAUAGACAAACAUACACACGUACAUGAUUCAGCAUAGGGUCCUACUAAAGAUUUGUUUAACUCCAACAGGAAAAUUAGGCAGUAAUAAUUAGUGGUAUUUAAGUACUCCUAAUUAAUUAAGUGAGACAGCAGAAGUGGAAGGGCUCCCUAGAGGAUCGUCUCACAUGUAAGGUAGUCGUUGCCGGAGCCCUUGAAUGGCCUCGACUGAGGCCUCUGGCUUCAGCAAGAUUGCCUUGGCACUGUUUAUUCUUCUUCUUCUUCCUCUUCAUGCUCUGUUUCUCUUUCUCCUCACCAGUUGGUGAAACCAAGUACAUGAUUGGCCUUCUAAUUCAGAAUUGGUUUUGUCAGUGAGGGAGUACAAGUGUACUAGUAAAAAACAACAUUAUUUUCUCAUGGCAGUCGGAAAAUAGAGAUGAACACAUGCAUUAAAUAUCAUUCUUACCUAAAGGAAGGUUAUGGCGCCAAUAUGGAUGAUGAGGAUUGGAACACAGAUCUCCCUUUAUGCAGUUCCACCAAAAUGAACCAACUGUUCCAUUCUAACAUUCCAGUUAAACAACACAAAAGUUCUUUUAAGAAGAGUUUUGUGUAGUGCACCAAAAGGUCACAACAGCAACCAGGUGAAUUGGAUAUCCCUGUUUGCACAAAAAGGCAUAGAGGAAACAGUCAGAGUCUCAAACAAUUACAGGCAAAAACAUUUGGCUAAACUUGUCAUGGCUUAUAACAGUGGCAUGGCUUCAUUUUUACCAGGGACAUUAGAUUAAGAACAGCUAAGGCUGCGGUCGGUUCACAGGUUUGGUGCAGGAUUUUCAUAGGAACACAAUUCCUACGGUAUUCUUUCCCUUCCAACCGUUCGGAACACGGGAGAGGUGAAUAGUGUUUCAUAGGAAAGCUGAUCUGGUAGUACUGAUUCCAUAGGAUUAUAAACAUCCACGCGCUGCUCAUUUUUUGGGGGGAAGCCCGAGGCAGGCGCUCGCUGCCAUGUGUUAGACAGGUUGCUGUGUUGUGUUGCCAGAAUAAAAAAAUCAACCUAUGUGUGGUACGUGAGGUGAGGACAAGAGUAGUCACUGUGCAUCUAAAGAAACAAAUAGCAUCUCAUACUGCCAAGCAUGCUACUCUAAAAAAACAAAUCUGUACAUUUCAUAGUCCAUCCGAACACAUUCUCUUGAGAGUUUCCUCCGGUUCGCUGUUCCAUAGUUUUAUACCUACAUUCCUUUCCUAUUACUCUAUUUUCAUCAAGACAUAUGUUUUCUGCCCCUUUAUUCCGAACGGAGCCUAAAUAUUUGGUAUAAGGGCAUGGGACAGUGGGUGCACCAGCAGUCCAGCACCAUGUACAUAAAGAGGGGCAUAAAGUGGUGAUUCAUAGUUUGUUGCCCCGAGAAACGAAUAUUCAAGAAACAUAUCUAGGUUGGUCCCAUUUUUGUUCACUCCAGCCACCUACUCCUAUGUGUGGAUAGCAAAUCUAGUCCUGGUCAUACCACUGUGUACAGCGUUACCCCUAUAUUUCCCUUUUCGACCAAGAGACCGGUUGGAUGACCAGUCUGUACUACUUUCACCCCCUUUCCUUCCUGUUUGUACCAAGUCCGAUGUACAUACUAAAUUCCCCCACCCCCACUUUAUUUCUUGUUUGAACCAAGUACUCCCUCUGUUCGGAAUUACUUGUCAUCAAAAUGGACGUGUCCAGAACAAAAAUACAUCUAGAUACAUCCAAUUCAAUGAGAAGUAUUUUCGGACGGAGGGAGUACAAGAUUCAACUCCAUGAAGUAGCUUUACCUCUAACAAUAGAAAAAAAUGUGACGUUGGACCAUCCGAUCGAGAGGGGCUGAGAGGUAGAAAAUGAUGCACAUGCAACAACGUAGCGAGUUGGGGAAGUAGAGCUAAGGCGGUUUCGAAUGAAGAUAUACCUGAAGGUCGUCGGGAUGUGGAUAGGUGGGCGGUGGGAGGCCGGAUCCGCCCACAGGCAAUGACAAAGGGAUCGGAGGACCUCCCGCGCCGGCGCUCGGCCAGAGAUAAUAGUGCGGCCGGCAGUGGGUCUCCUCCCUCACUAUCGACGACGGCCUAAACGCUGCCCCUCCUCCCCUUCACCGGCAGAGGGGGAUACGUCCGGAUCUAUAACAAGCGGUGAGGAUAGAAAGCCAGUGUUUUUUGAAGGGAGAAAGACAGUGUUACUACCCCUAUCUUGUUUAGAUCUGGAGAGGAUGAGAGUGUGUGAAUAGAGCAACCCUAGCAAGCAAGCGUGGAGGCUCCGGCCCAUAUAUACGUAGUGGGGUAGUUUUCCUUUUUCACUCCAUCAAAACAAUCGUUUAAAAUUGUGUACUACUACAUGCCAGGUCGCAGUUUUUUUAGUUGUUGAUUGUUUUUUGAGAUAGCUACCCGCUUGUUCCAAGUGGUGUUACAGUGUGCCAGGUCGCACUUUGUAUCGUUCAAGUCUGGUACUACAAGUCCCUCCAUUAAAUGAACAACCACCCCCUCGUAAAAAUGGUGAACAAGCCCACGGCUAAAAUUAGCGGAAACAUGGGUUGCCCCAACAUGCAUUAUUAUUUAUAUUUUCUACUCCAUCCGUUCCUAAAUAUAAGUCUUUUUUAUUAGCCACACCUAAGAAAAGAAUUUUUUUUAUUAGCAGUGAACCCCACAUGUCAUAGACACAAAAAUUGUGGCUAGAUUCCCUUAGGCAAGCCAAAGUGUGCCUAACGAUUUGAGCAACUCAGGUUAGGCAAGUGUGGCAAGUGUGGGAAAAAUAAUGUGGCAACAUAAGACAAACAUAGUCACAAUCCAAACAGCCCCGUAAUUUUUUGUGACAUGCAUGAAAAUUUGGUUAGUUAAAUUUAUAGUCAAAAUUUGGCAAGGUGCAUCAAAUCAACACAUGCAAGUAUCGAAAGGAAAGUCACGACAUGCAUGCAUGCGUUGUACUCCCUCCGUUUCCAAGUACAAGUCUUUUUAGAGAUUGCAACAAGUGACUACAUACGAAGCAGAAUAUGUCUACUCCUACAUACGAAGUAGCCUAUUCGAAAUGUGUAAAAAGACUUAUAUCGAGUGCAGUGCUUUGAUGUGUCGUGUCAACUCGUACAAGACCGAGAAAUUUUUACUACAACGCCCUCUCCCUCGCGGACUGAGCUCCGGUGCCUUAACUGCACCUGCCUUUGGCUGCAUGACAGGAGGGCCAACCACCUGUUGGGCCCACCUGUCAUAGAUGCAAAGGCAGGAGCAGUAAGUAGAAGCUUUCGCUACAUGCUAUCCCUCCCGCACGAGGUGGACGGACAUGCAGCAGUGGAUUCGAUACUGUAGAAGUAGGAGUAACAUCAUUGUUCAUCUUCUCGAAGAGGCGAAGAGCCAAGCGCAAGCCGAACGUGGCAGUUGCGAAUGCUCGCGUGGUGCGGUUCCUUGGAGCACUAGCCAGGCUCUUGCAUGAGACAAAGUUUCUAUUGUUUAACAAUUAAAUCCAUUAUCCAUUGGUUGAUACUCAUUUUGCAUAGGUCCAUGCGCUUAGUACCGUUUCCUCCUGGGGUCACCAAUGUUUAUUUGCUAAUUAAUAGCAUUGCAUGCAAUGAACUAGCCAUUGCAAGUCAUUAAAAGCAUGCACACCUCUCAUCUCUUAUUGGUUGAUAUGUCAAGAAACAAGAAACAAUAAACAAGGUAGAAGUUAAUGCACCGCGCCUAAGUGUUUUGGGACUAUUUGUUUUUGGUGUGCAGUGGCACUAAGACUAGCCACAAUGAAGAGUAACAUACACUAGUAACAUACACAUAUUCCUAGACUAUGUUACUACCUUCAUAGUGGGUAGUAACAUAAGUGUGAUAACAUGCAGAGCUUCAUUUAUUAUGUUAUAGACUCAUAUUGCAUUGGGACAUGUGAUGUUACAGUAACUAGCUAAGUUACUACUACUACCUCUCUCCUCAUUAACUCAUUGCCACAUAAGCAAAUUUGCUGAGUUGGACUCGAUGUUACUUCUGAAGUUACUCCCACUGUGGCUAGUCUAAGAUCGGUCGCUCACGAUAGUACAUACUCCAUACCAUACUACCAUAGUACCCUCUCUAGCUUAGGCUUUUUUAUAGAUUGUCGUUGUGAUGGACGAUAUACAUGAGCAAGGCUGUCCGAGUAUGACCGAGGGAGUCCUAGAUUAGGGGGUGUCCGGAUAGCCAGACUAUACCUUCGGCCGGACUCCUGGACUAUGAAGAUACAAGAUUGAAGACUUCGUCCCGUGUCCGGAAGGGACUUUCCUUGGCGUGGAAGGCAAGCUUGGAGAUACGGAUAUGUAGAUCUCCUACCAUUGUAACCGACUCUGUGUAACCCUAGCCCUGUCCGGUGUCUAUAUAAACCGGAGGGUUUUAGUCCAUAGGACGAAAAACAAUCAUACCAUAGGCUAGCUUCUAGGGUUUAGCCUCUCUGAUCUCGUGGUAGAUCUAUUCUUGUACUACCCAUAUCAUCAAUAUUAAUCAAGCUGGACGUAGGGUUUUACCUCCAUCAAGAGGGCCCGAACCUGGGUAAAACAUCGUGUCCCCUGCCUCCUGUUACCAUCCGCCUUAGACGCACAGUUCGGGACCCCCUACCCGAGAUCCGCUGGUUUUGACACCGACUGUGGGCCAAUUGGCUUGGUCAUCUGGAGCAGAUCGAAAGCUACGCCCCUGGCCAUCAGGUCAGAUUUGGAAGUUUGAACUACACGACCGACAUCCGCGGAGAGUUGAUCUUCGACAGAUUCGAGCCACAGCCGAGCGCGCCGCACUGUCACGAUGGGCAUAUCUAGCUCUGCCGCCGAACAGUGCCCUGGAGGCCGCAUCUGUGUCCGCUCCGACCCCUAGCUCGGAGCCGAUCACACCAAUCAAGGAUGGGUGGUUAGACACUGCCUCGGGGGCUGCAAUCUCUACGGCGAUCAAGCCAAACACCAGCCUUGUCCUCUGCGAAGCCCGUGACUCCAAGGUGCCGGACUCCUCUCCGGACUUCGAGCCCUCCGCGCCCCUACCGAUCGAAUCCGAUUGGGCGCCGAUCAUGGAAUUCACCACCGCAGACAUCUUUCAACACUCACCCUUCGGCGACAUUCUGAAUUCACUCAGGUCUCUCUCUUUGUCAGGAGAGCCCUGGCCGGACUAUGACCGGCUGGAUUGGGAUGUGGACGACGAAGAAAUUCGAUGCCCACCCACCACCCACUUCGUAGCCACUGUCAAUAAUUUAAACGACGUGCUCGACUUCGACUCCGAAGACAUCGACGGUAUGGACGACGAUGUAGGAGAUGAACAUGAACCAACGCCUAUAAGGCACUGGACAGCCACCUCAUCUCAUGAUGUAUGCAUGGUGGACACACCCAAAGGAAGCGACAACGAGGAACACAGGGAUGCAACGAGGGAUCGUUCACUCGAAAAGCAAUCAAAGCAGAGACAUAAGCGCCGCUCCAAGCCCCGCCUCGACAGGGACAGCAGCCAUACAGACCCAGCCAUAGAGCGGGACGAGCCGGCGGACGACGAACAUGCCUUCGAGCAAGCGUCCGAACAGGGCAACUUGGAUAAACAAACCGAACACCCCGUCCCCGGCGAAAACAACAGUCCGGACGACCUUACGCCGGAUAAACUCAUGGAGCAGAAGAACCUCCACAAAAGGCUCGUCGCCACUGCACAUAGCCUGAAAAAGCAGAAGCGGAAGCUCAAAACUGCGGAAGAUGCACUCAGAAUCAGAUGGAGCAAAGUAUGCAACACCGCAGACAAAUAUGGCGGCAGUCGCCGCACAAAAAGCUAUCCAAUGCGAAAGCAACUGCCUAAAUUUGACGAGGAGGCCUUAGAGCCCCCGCAGUCAAAAAAAUAGGAAGGCCAUGCGGUCGUCCCGGAUGGACGACCGCAUGGCCAGCAUGGAGGGGCAAGCGGCGCCGCACACAAGCUGGCACGCGAUCCACCAAAGGAUCCGCAUCAAAAAGACGGCCCAGCCAGAUCUAUAUACGGGCCAAGAAAGCAAGCUCUAGUAAGCAAUGCAACACAACAAAUAUCCGAACAUCACGACACACCCAAAUACAGGGGUGCCGCACACCCCCUAUGUUUCACCGAUGAGGUGCUGGACCAUGAAUUUCCAGCAGGAUUCAAGCCCGUAAACAUAGAGGCGUACGACGGAACAACAGACCCUGGGGUCUAGAUCGAGGAUUAUAUCCUCCACAUACACAUGGCCAGAGGAGAUGACCUCCACGCCAUAAAAUACUUACCCCUAAGCUUAAAGGGCCAGCCCGGCAUUGGCUCAAAAGCCUUCCCGAAAACACCAUUGGAAGUUGGGAAGUGCUUGAGGAUGCUUUCCGGGCAAAUUUUCAAGGGACCUAUGUCCGCCCUCCGGAUGCAGACGAUCUCAGUCACAUAACUCAACAGCCCGGAGAGUCAGCCCGGAAAUUCUGGAAUAGAUUUCUUACUAAAAAGAAUCAGAUAGUCGACUAUCCGGACGCUGAAGCCCUAGCAGCUUUUAAGCAUAACGUUCGAGACGAAUGGCUCGCCAGACACCUCGGCCAAGAAAAGCCAAGAACAAUGGCCGCAUUAACAAGCCUCAUGACCUGCUUUUGCGCAGGAGAGGACAGCUGGUUGGCAAGAUGUAGCACCAGCAACCCAAGUACAUCCGAAGUUAGCGAUGGAAACGGAAAACCCCGACGCAGCAAGGACCAGCGCCAGAAUAAGGGAAACAACCCAAAGAGCACGGCGGUCAACGCCGGAUUCAAAAGCUCGCGGCAGAAUCAGAGAAAGCCGCCCCUCAAGGAUAACAUGGACGAGCUAUCCAACUUAAACAAAAUCUUGGACAAGAUAUGUCAAAUACACAGUACUCCCGAGAAGCCUGCGAACCAUACCCACAGAGAUUGUUGGGUUUUCAAGCAAGCUGGCAAACUCAACACCGAACAUAAGGGGCUCGACACACCAAGUGAGGACGACGAUGAACCCCACAAGGAGAGCACCAGGAAACAAAAGGAUUUCCCACAAGAAGUCAAAACAGUAAACUUACUUCACGUGACGAACAGAACGGCGCCACCAGAGAUACGCGCCAUAUGGCCUGUCCCAAAGGAGUCUCGCCAAUGGUUGUUAAAACCGAUCACCUUCGACCAUGAGGAUUACUCUAGAAGUAUCCGGAACGCAGGCUGGAUUGCCUUGGUAUUAGAUCCAAUAAUCGGCGGACUCCACUUUACAAAUGUCCUGAUGGACGGCGGCAGUGGUCUAAACCUGUUAUACCAGGACACAGUUCGCAACAUGGGGAUAGACCCAAAAAAAAUCGCCAUAGCAAAACCUCCUUUCAAGGGGUAACGCCAGGCCAGGAUGCCCGUUGUAUGGGUUCUCUCCGGCUAGAAGUUAUGUUCGGCUCCCCCGAUAACUUCCAUCGCGAACAGCUAACUUUCCACAUCGCCCCAUUCUCAAGUAGCUAUCAAGCACUGAUGGGACGCGAAGCUUUCGCCCGCUUUAAUGCAAUACCGCAUUAUGCAUCUCUUACGCUUAAGAUGCCCGGUCCACGAGGCAUCAUCUCAUUAAAAGGAAAACAUUGAGUGUCCCUCUCGCGCGGAAGACAGUGCGGCUGCCUUUACAGCCCCACAAUAAAGCGGCUUCAUCAGCCAAAGCACCUACACAGGUCGUCAAGACCACGGACACGGCUAGACGAGUCCAGCAUAAACAUACAAUUGAUAAACGCUUAAUAGCUGUAUACCCCUGUACUAGGGGCUCCGCGCAUAUAAAACAAGAGACAAUAAAGCUCAAUUUUACCCAUUUCGAUUUAUACUUUGUUUAUUUAGUAUAACUUAUGUUCGGCACGAUCUUUCUUCAACUAAGUUCCUCUCUUUUUAAAGAUGAACACCGUGCUACGCCCGUCCAGGAUACGGCACAACGGAGACACGGGCGCAGACAUGCAGCAGGGACCCGUUCCAAGGAUUCUUUUCAGAUUAAGACCCUGCGUAAACCUUUUUUACUGUCCCUUGUUGAUACACAUCCCCUGGUUUCUUGGUAUAACCAAGGAGGAGGUUGGGGUUUUGGCAUGUGGCCACGUCAGAGUUUUGCACGUACCUGGACACUAGGGGAUUAUUACUAAGGGCGUUAUCCCGCCCGCCCUCAUAAAGACCGAAUACCUUAGGGAGUGUUCGGCGUCGCGGGUUUGGCCUUAUAUGCAUCAGCUCCGAAUCAUGUCUUUGGUCAAAUGUUGGGUUUGCCCGGCUCCUGUGUUUUGCUGCUUUACGUUCCACUCUAUCGGCUAAGGCGGCACCAGGAGAACUACUGUGAUUGUGCCCCGGUUCGGCCAGGCGAGCACCUCAGUAGAGAAAGUCAAAAACUGACUGUCAUGUUAUAGCGUGAGACUGGUCAACCACUCGAUGACUUACCGGAAUCUUUAGGAUUCCUCCGCAUUAACGAAGGGCCGUUUCCUGGCCAGGCACAUAUGCGCCCCGAGUUCGGGCGAGCGCAGGUGCCACCAGGGGCUAUAUAAGUAGCCUCACUGUCAAACUCCUAUGGCUAAGUGAAAGUGAUAAAACAUCAUUGUCUGAUUGCCUAGUUCGCUGCGCUAUCACCUCCUUUGUAGGACCAAGACGUUGGAUCAAGUGUGUAAAUGCGCCUUCUACGAACACCCCCGCAUUAUGUGCGUGGGGGCUGAAGCCGACGACUGCCAUCUUUCAGAUUAUAUAUACAUAGAUGUUAAACGACCGCACAGGAGGUAUCAUAAUACUUGCAGGCACAAGUAUAAAAAGCUUCUACAAUUUAUCAUAAUAUUGUUCUACAAUAAUAUAUGCUAUUUGAAUAUAGUAUCCUUCGAGCACUGCGUCUCUAUUAAACGAGCGCCUUGCAGAACUUCCUGAAAAUAGUGCUCGGCAGGUACUCGGCUUCCAUCCGAGUCUGGGGAUGCAACAGCGGUGGCUUCCAUUUUCGCCCAGUAUGUCUUGACACGGGCAAGAGCCAUCCGCGCAUCCUCUAUGCACGCUGACCUCUUCACCGCAUUGAUAUGUGGCGCCGCACCAAGGAACUACUGCACCAAGUUGAAAUAACUUUUUGGCUCUUGCGUCUCUGGCCACAGAUGACUCAUGACAUACUUCAUGGCGAGUCCGGACAACCUAUUUAGCUCGGCCCAUUCGGCCAAACGAUCGUCUAAUGACAGUGGACGCUUUGGAUUGUGGAACUGCGACCAGAAGAGCUUUUCCACUUCGCGAUCUUCUUGAUCUCGGAAGUGUUCGGCCGCAUCUGCGACACUCGCUGCUAAAUCCAGAUAGGUGUCUGCCGUACUCCACAUUUGGUCUAAUGGAGCAUGUUUAGGAUCAUAGAACUUCCUCCACAGCAUAAAGGGCUUUCCAGCCGCGAUCUCUCCGGCCUGACGCAGCUCCUCCUUCAUAGCUCUCAUCACAGAGCGAGCAUCCUUGGCAUCGGCAACGGCUUUCUUCAGGUCCGUCUGUUCCGCCCGAUCUUCUUUUUCAAGAAGCUUGCAACGGUCAGCAGCGUUCUUCAGCUUCACGGCCAUCUCGGCCAUUUCCUUCUUGCUUCGGCAGUGAGCAGCCUGUUCGGCUUUCAGCUCUUGAAUUGCCUUUCCGGCAGCCGCAUCACUUUUCCAGGCUUGCUCCUUGGCUCGGGCAAGUUCCGCCCGAAGAUUCUCCAUGGCAGCAACACCAUCUGCAUCACGCGCACACAUUGUAAGAUACUGGCAUAAAGCUCCUCUUACCAGGUGCCGCCGGAGGAAUUACAUACCUUGUGCCACGUCAAGCCGCUUGUUGACAAGCGCGAUGUCGACAUCUACCACGUCAAGUUGCCACUUUAGCUCGGCAAAUUCAUCAGUCCGGCUGGCCACCGGACACUUCGCCACCUACGUAUGAAGGCGGCGUAUUAGACCUGGGAUUAUGAUGCUCUGCGCGCCGUCACUUUUGACAACGCACAGACUCUUAGGGGCAACUACCUACACAGGGCGCAUCUUAUUUAUGGGAAACUGUCCAAAAAGGGUACAUUAUUUCGCGUACCUCAAAACCUGUCAGUAAACUCCUGACGGCCUCGUGCAAUCCGCCCUCCGCGGAUGAAAUCCUCUCAAUCACCGUGCCCAUCAAUGCACGGUGCUCCUCUGAGAUAGAUGCUCGCCCUAGCAGAUCCUUCAGCUCCUCCGACCGUGCACCAGACGGUGCCGGACUCGUCCAAUGGCCCUUUUAGAAGGCCGGACGCGGAGGGCUUUGGGGGGCCAUAUGACUACCUUCCGGCCUUGCCGGAUUUGGAGAAACCCUCCGCGACGAUACCUUAGGGUCACCCGCCUCGCAAGGCGCUAUGGCAGGGGGAGGCGUUCUGCUCUCCAUCAUUUCCGGAAGAAGAUCCCCCGAAGACGAGCUCUGCUGAAAAGGGCUAAGGUCCGAGCUACAAGGUAAAUUUUUUAUUACUUUUCUCAGAUAUAAAGCAAGGAUUUCUCUUAUCUCUUAAAAAGAAAAACUCCUCUCUACUUACGGCUCGGUGGAGGGCUGAUCCCCUUGAGGGCAUAAUUCGGCCGAAGCAUCCCCCAACACAGGACCCUCUAGCGAAGAUUUCUUCCCCCGCUUUGAGGCCAUGGUCUCUGGGUCUUUAGAGGCGGUCCUCUUCUUCCCCUGAGGAGAGGAAUUUUCGAUUCCUCCCUUCCAAACAGCCUCCUUCGAGGAGGCCGUAGAUUCCUUGUCCCCUCCCUCGCUUUCCUCCGAAGGCACAACCUCCAAUAUCCUGACUAGUACGGGACCCGGUGUGGUCGCGGGGAGGGGGGGCCGGACACCUGAUUAGCUUUGCUUUCGCUAUCCACUCCCGUUUAAAGGAUAACUCUUUUAAGGGCAAUUUUAUGAUAAAUAUGCGGAUUGCGAGUCCGGGCACGGGGCUACUUACUUGAGUAUCCGGGUGGUUGCAGCUCAGACCUGCGUCCUUGGUCAAGUUCGGACACAUUGCUUGUGAUCCGAAGAACAAUUUGUACAUCUCCACGGGUGUCGCGCCCAUAAAAUGUUGGAGAGCUCGUGGUCCCUCCGGAUUGAACUCCCACAGGCGGAGUGGGCGACAUUUGCAGGGCAGAGCUCGGCGAAUCAGCAUAACCUAUGUCGCCGCGACUAGACUGAUAUCUCUUUCUAGGAGAUCUCGAAUGCGGCCCUGCAACAAGGGCACGUCAUUGGACGGCCUCCAGUCCAGUCCUUUAUUAACCCAUGACGCUAGCUGUGGUGGGGAACCCAGGCGAAAGGCAGGUGGCGCCACCCACUUGGGGGCCCUGGGAGCGGUAAUAUAAAACCACUCUCGUUGCCAUAAGCUGGACUCCUCUUGAAAAGAGCCCUCGGGCCAUGGAGCACCAGCAUUCUUGCUUAUAAAAGCACCUCCGCACUCCGCGUGCCAUCCCUCGAUCAUCUUCGGCUCUACUUUGAAGGUCUUGAGCAAUAGUCCGAAGUGAGGAGUGAUACGGAGGAAGGCUUCACACACGACGAUGAAUGAGGAAAUAUGGAGGAUGGACUCCGGGGCUAAGUUGUGAAAUUCCAGCCCAUAAUAAUACAUGAGCCCCCUCACGAAGGGACCCGUCGGGAAGCCUAGCCCCCGAAGGAUGUGAGGCAUGAACACCACACUCUCACCAGGCUUGGGAGUGGGAAUGACCUGCCCUUGAGCAGGCAUCCUAUGCCAGAUUUCGCCGGUCAAGAACCUGGCCUCUCUCAACUUCAGCACGUCCUCCUCCGUGAUGGAGGAGGGCAUCCAUCGGCCUCGAAGGUCGGAAUCGGACAUUGUCGAAGGUCCGAAGUGCCUGAAAUCUGGAGCCUUGGGUGUUGGAACUCAAGGCGAAGGGCGAACUCGUUUGAGAUUAAAAGAAAGGAGUAAGGCCUUGGUCUCUUUAUAAGAGGUUGAAUACCAAGGGACCUCCCCAUGACCGUUUGGGACUCGCCUUUGAUCUAGAAAACAUACCAACGGGUAUGACUGGGUUACCCACGCCCGUAUUGAUGAGAAUACCGGAAUAAGGGGACACGAUCUCUGCUUCAACAAGACGUGCCAAGGAAACCGCCUCGCUAAACGCGCUGAGGUGGGACAGUAAAACGAUUCGAAUAAAGACUUGGCCAUAGUGUGAUGUCACGCUACGAAAUACGUCAGCAGAUUAGAUUUGUGUAAAUAUUAUUCUCUCUAUGGAAAUAUGUGGAAACUUAUUUUGCAGAGACGGACACUACCUUUGUGUUCAAAAUCUUCUAUGAAGUACUUGGAGGAGGAACCCGCCUUGCAAUGCCGAAGACAAUCUGCGCGCCGGACUCAUCAUCAUUGAAGCCUGGUUCAGGGGCUACUGAGGGAGUCCUAGAUUAGGGGGUGUCCGGAUAGCCGGACUAUACCUUUGGCCGGACUCCUGGACUAUGAAGAUACAAGAUUGAAGACUUCAUCCCGUGUCCGGAAGGGACUUUCCUUGGCUUGGAAGGAAAGCUUGGCGAUACGGAUAUGUAGAUCUCCUACCAUUGUAACCGACUCUGUGUAACCCUAGCCCUCUCCGGCGUCUAUAUAAACCGGAGGGUUUUAGUCCGUAGGACGAACAACAAUCAUACCAUAGGCUAGCUUCUAGGGUUUAGCCUCUCUGAUCUCGUGGUAGAUCUACUCUUGUACUACCCAUAUCAUCAAUAUUAAUCAAGCAGGACGUAGGGUUUUACCUCCAUCAAGAGGGCCCGAACCUGGGUAAAACAUCGUGUCCCCUGCCUCCUGUUACCAUCCGGCCUAGACGCACAGUUCGGGACCCCCUACCCGAGAUCUUCCGGUUUUGACACCGACAAUGACCGUUGGUAUUGAGCCAGGUGAAUACAAACUUGGCGUUCGCGUAGGCUUCCAUCAAACAUCUAAACAGUAAUGUCAGGCACCGCCGGGGCGCGUAGGUGAUGGGCUCGCCGUUUGCGUUGCGCCAUGAGCAGGACUUUGAUUUAGAGGGCAACGUGCAUGCAUUAGCAUGCUUUGACAGCGUGAGCGUGAGUGUCUGACGCGAAGUAUUUCAUUUUCAUUUGGCUGACGAGGGUGCGUUGCAGCGACGAGUCCGUGGUUUGAUUCCCCACAUAUACAUAAUUUUGGUUUUUACAGUAUUUCUUUCUCCAUUGAUAGGUAGGCCCGCGUAGAUAGAUAAAGAACACGAGCUGAUGAGGCGCAUGCGGACUAUUUGACUGGUCAACCAAACAAAUAUGGAGCUAUACGCUGUGUUUGUGACCGUAUAAUCACCAUAUCUCGUAUACAAUGAUAAAAGUGAGAUAUCAAGACAAGUUUGAUGACCGCCAAUGCAUUUUACUCGGUAAUAAAUGACCAGGAUUGAAGGGGAAUCCAAAUUUGCUUCGUCUUCUGUCCUUGAGCUCUUGACAAACCAAUGCACUAUACGGUUGUCCGGUCACUCCACCCCAGAGCACUCACCAAGCGUCGUUCAUGACACCGCGCCGCACACUAACCGGUAAGGCAGCGAUGGCAUCGCGCCGCACCGAGUUCCUCGCUGCCCACGACCACACACAAAAUGGUAGGUAAGCGAUGGCAUCCCACCGUGCCGAGUUCAUCGCCGCUCGCGACCUCACAACUAUGUGGGAGGAAUUUGAAGAUGCCAAGGCCGAACGGGCGGUAGAGCAAGAGGUGGCCAAAGCCGCACAGAGGGAGCGGAAAAGUCAGAAAGCACUCAAGAAAAGAGAGGCCCACCGCCGCAAGAAAGAAAAGGACGCACACGCUGCUGCGGAGAGGUCGGCGGAGAUCCAAGCACGGUGGGGUUUCGCCGACAAAGCCGGGAAGGAGAACGACGGCGUCUGGCCAGCAUGUGAGAAGUAGUAGUACUAGUAGUUAGUGUGUGUGUCUGUGUCUGAGUACAAGCCUGUACCAAUACUAAUAGUUACUACUGUAGUUUUUAGAGAAAAUUACCAGUACAUUAGCCUAGACUAAAUGGAAAAAUUCUUAUCCUAAGCAUCAAAUGGCAUCUCUUUCUCUAUAGGAAUUGAGAUGCAUGUCAUCUCACUUCCUAUGAUUUUCAUAUUCCUAUCCUAUGAACGAAAGGAGGCCUCUGUUGGAGUAACUACUGUAGCUAGCAGUACUGCUGGUACAGUAGUUUUCUUCAAGAAGCGGAAUUCAACGAAGUCAUCAUGGUUCCUUCGUCCGAGCAACUUCAAAGUGGGAAGUGGGCCUGUGAUUUGACGGCUCAUUAGUCAUUGUUACUGCGGCGCGACGACCUGGGUGACUCUCCCUUGGAGUUCAGCGUGCAUGGCAAGUGGACCAGGAUGGUCGACGUCCCACAUGUUGGCGAACGGAAGUAUUCUUUCUGAUAUCGAGGAGCAAGGAAACCGCGUGGUAUAGUAUCACUGCUGAUUGGUUCGCAAAAAAAUAGUAUCACUACCGAUUUAUAAUUAUUUUUUUAUUUCUGAUGAAUGCUAGCGUUUCAACUCUUACGAUGUAGGGUGCCAAACACGGCACGUGCUGGAUGUCCCACACGUCAGCGAAAAGGAGUGGGACACGAACAACGUGGUAGAGCCCAGCAUAAAAAAAUAGCGUGGUAGAGCGUCUCCACUUCUUCCACUUCUGGGUCGGAGACCACACGUAGUAGUACUUAGUGGUAUGAACGAUACAAAGUGCGACCUAGAGAGAAAGACACGUCUAGUUGGAAGGUCCCGGGGGAAUACACGUAAACAAAUAUAAAAGUUAAUAUGUGCCUCCAACUAUUAUAGUAGUAGUAGAGUACUUAGGCACGCACUCCAUAACAUCACCGUGCAUUGCACGUACAACAUUUAGUGGUAGUACAUAGUAAGAGACAAAUGCCGCCCAAGAGCUCCCUUCUCGACCUACUUUUGGGUGUUUGGUAGAGUGUAUGGAGGGUGCAUGAGUCCACACUAGUUUAGCACAAAUACACUAGAAGCAUGCAUGAAGAGGGGUGUUGAGUUGAGCAUGCAUGAAGAGGGAACAACUAUGCAGAGACGAGAACGCAACCAAACACACCCUAUAUGCCACGCAUGUUCAUACCAUUUGUGCCUUUCCACUUCACUUACUGCGCUACAUUACUCAGGUUCGUACGUCCACUCCUGGGUACAUGUUCGUCUCGUAGUUCCAGUCCCACGUGUUCUUCAUAUAUAUGGAACGAUCCUUGCAUAACACGUGCACCUUGAUGCUAGAUGUCUCGCGUGUUGGCAAAAGGAUGAACAAAGCUCAUGUAAAAAAAUAGAGUGGAAGAACAUAGAUUCCGGAUGAUCGAGAAGGAGCAAGGAACCUCGUGGUGGAGCAUCUGCACUCAUAAUAUUUAAUAUUAUUCAGCGAUAUAAAAUUAACCAAUCAUCUCCAUAGUGGACUGGAAGAGUACGAAACAUGACAGCCCAGUGUAGUUACAUCAUACUAGUACAUGGCUAACCCACGCUAUCACCAUAUUUCUUGGCUUCUGUGCGACACCUAUCUCUAGUAAUCCAGCAGCAUGUAUCGCUUCUCCCUCCUCGUCUCUAUCAAAGUGCGGCGGGCUGGCGUUUCUGCCGUCUAUUGAGGUCGGUUAACUAUCACAUGUUAGCGACAUGCCAAGAGCAUUCUAAAAAAAAUUCCUUUCACGUUCCGUUUUCAAAAAGAAAAAAUCCUUUCACGUACGAAUUUGCCUGUAUGCUUUGAGCAACUUGCAUGUCCUAUACUGCUCCUGUUUGAUACUCUCACUUAGCUAGAGGUUAGACUAACUCAUAACUAACCCUGAACUAACUGUAGCUAAAGAGGUGUUUGGGUGACAGGGUUAGAUUGAAAAUAAAUGCACUUCAUGGAGAGAUAAAAGUGAUUUUUCAGUGGUCCCAAUGAGAACUAUCUCCAGUUAGCACCUCUUGGGUGGGAUAGUUUUUUUUGGUGGGUUCGGUGCAACUUGCUCCAAUUUAAACCCUCAUGCUUGGACUCUUUAGGGCUAUUUGAGCCCCAACUAGCUCAAACUAACUCUAACCCAUGGAUCCAAAUAGGGCCUAUGGCCAGUCUCGACGCGGAGCAGUCGCGUGCACCGGGAAGCGGCACUCUCUCGGCAGUCGCGUGCACCGGGAAGCGGCACUCUCUCGGCCGUCGCGCCACUUCAAAGCUAGAGCCAGUGAGAGGUCGCCUCCGCUCUGGCCGGGCAUUAAUGUGGCACUGACGCUCCAGGGUGACGCUGACUGUUUCACGCGGGAAGUGCAAGGGAGUAUAGGUUUUGAACCAUUUCAGGUGUAGUACUGGUAGUUUGCAAAACUACUCAAUUAUUGCACUCAGUUUCCUAAGAAAUUGUGGUAAAAAACGUUACUCCACAGCCCGCUUCCCUUCUCCUUCCUCUUCCACGGCCCGCGCACGUCCGCGGGAAGCGGCUGGUCAACCCUUAUAUAGGAGUGCUAGCACAAAAAGAUGCAUGCAUGACCACUAAAAUUUCCAUAUUAAAGCGCCGCUCCAGCGGGAGUAUGGCGUAUGUUGUUACCUUCGGCCGGCCCAUGGCUACCUGGCAACAGCGACCAGAGAAGAGGCGGAGGGAGGGGAAUGAAUGCAGCUACUGUUUGGGUUCACCUUCCAGCUUAAAUAAAUGUGCAGCAUCACGUGUACCCGCGGGUGCACAAAUUGUAACAUACAUGUCUGCUUAAGUGGGCGUCACGUAACUGGUGUGUGUGAGAGAGAUUCUGAGAGACAUAGUGUGUGUGUGUGCGACUCUACUCUUCGGACAUGUACUCAACCUUUUGCAUCGGGAUAUAAGUAUAAUGGUGUUUACUUUAGCUAGUGAUUUACGUGGCCAUGUUAACGUGGUUGUGUCAAAAAAUGUCACUUCCUACUCGUGAUUUGCGUUAUAUAAUUAGAAGCAAGAUUCUCGUGCAUUGCAUGGAACAUCAAUAUGCAUUUUUUUACAAAACACCUAUUGUGAUUGACCCAUGCAGGAGUAAUCCCAUGUGUAAAAACUAAUGAUAUCUCGAGAAUUUUAUCGGAAAACCGGUAUCUCGAGAAUGUCAUCGAAAAAAUGAAAGAUGAGAGAUAAGGCGAGGAGGAGUGGAGCGUGGUGGUGACUGGUGGUCGGAAUGGGCAGAGGCAUGGGGAUGGACGGCACCGGCAGGCGGCAGCGGCCACCAUGCAUGUUAGAUUGUUCCAGAGACUUAUUCCUUUUUUAAUUGCUGAGAAAUGAGGUUGCGGGAGAUAAUGAUGUGGAGAGAGGUGCGGGUAUCUUUUGUAAAAUUAUCAUAGUUUGCUUUCUAUCCUCAGAUAUAGAUCAUACGGUCUGUAUUACAAGAUGGCAGGCACACCAUCACCGCCAACUCGUUUUUUAUAAGGGUACAGAUGAUAAGUUUGCUGACUACUAAAGUAAAGUGGAAUUUGUCCAUGUUAUGCAAGUAAAUAAAGGUGAUUGUUUAUCAUACGGGUAAGGUUGGAUGAAGGGUGGUAGGAACAAAUGCUCCGCCUANNNNNNNNNNNNNNNNNNNNNNNNNNNNNNNNNNNNNNNNNNNNNNNNNNNNNNNNNNNNNNNNNNNNNNNNNNNNNNNNNNNNNNNNNNNNNNNNNNNNNNNNNNNNNNNNNNNNNNNNNNNNNNNNNNNNNNNNNNNNNNNNNNNNNNNNNNGCCUAUAGCAUGUGUGUGUGAGAUGGAGUCUUAGUGUGUGGGGGGUGUGUGAGAGAGAGAGAGAGAGGAGAGAUAGAGAUGGAGUCUUAGUUUGCGUGUGUGUGUGUGAGAGAGACAUGGAGUCUUAGUGUGUGUGUGUUGGAGGGGUGUGCGUGCGUGUGUGUGUGUGUGUUUGUGUGUGUGUGUGUGAGAGAGAGAGAGAGAGAUGGAGUCUUAGUGUGUGUGUGUGUGUGCGUGUGUGUGUGUGUGUGUCGCGGGGUCCUCUAUGGCGGAUGUAAUUUAAGUGUGCAUGGCUUCAUCAUAGAGAGGUGAUGUGUAUGGCAGAGGCCACCAACGAUGGGGUGCGAGAGAGAAAAUGCCUGUAGAGAGGGAAGAGAAGGUGUGUGCGCGUGAGAGGAGUCGACAUCGAGAGAACGUGUUUGUUCGAGAGACACCGAGGAAUACUACUAUAUAUCGAUGGUUCAUGUAGGCGGGAAUUAAACAAAGGGAUGGUCUUAUUGGUUUCGGGGAUAUAGGGGAAGAGUGAGAGGUGCGGGUAGCUAGAAGGAGAUUGUUAAGUGUGAGUGUGUGUUUUACCGAUCCAGGCGGAAGUUAUGUGCACAAAAAAGGAGAACGAUUUGAUGUGGCGUUAGGAUUGAGGGUAAUUAACUACGUAUGGAGACAUAGAGACCUUGAAUGUGCAUGUGUGAGAGGUAUACAUGUAUACGUGGGAUGUGUGUGUGUGUGUGCGCGCGCGCACAUGAUCGAGAUAAAAGAAAGAAGACAUAAGUCAUAAGAUCAACGACAUGGGAGAGACGGAUCGGUAUGACAAUAUGCAUGCAUGUGAGAACACAAGGAAGAAGGCCCGACAAUUGAGCAUGUGUUUUUGUCUUCAAGAUAUAGUGGCGUGGGCUGGACCAUGCAUCUAUGGCGAGCAGAGGGAGUGAGGCGCAACAUUGUGCAAAAGAGACCAACCUAUAAAUGCGUAUGUAUGGAGAGACAUAUAUAGUGUGGGUGAUAGGAAGCAAGACUCCAUGCGAGAAAGAAAUGUUGACGGAGAAACUACAGAUAGAUACAGAGAUGGAGAUGCUAGCUAGAGGGACAUCCGCUAGUUUGGGUGUUGGAGAUGACCGUCGGGUGGUUCAAAGGGUGAAGUUAUAUAUGUGUGUGAGAGGGCACUUGACUGCAUGUAGAGAGAAACAUAUGUAGUGUGCGUGAUAGGAAUCAAGAGUGAGGGUGAGAAAGAAGGUUGAUGGAGAAACAGAUAAAUAGAAAGAUAAAGAUGCUAGCUAGUGUGCGUUAGAGAUAGGAGUCGAGUGGAUCAGAAGGCUGGGUUAUGUGUGUGGGUGUGAGAGAGAUAGAGAGAGGGUGCAUGUGAGUCAUAUACAAACAGAUAUCAGAGAGAAAUGAGAUCCAGAUAGAUGGAGUUUUGUGUCUGCAAGAGAGAAAGAUAUUUCACAACGAGUGUGAUAGCUAGAGAGACAUACGAGGGAACGCAAGAUAUCUCUAGGGAGAGAGGGUGUGUGUGUGAGCGACAUACAAGAGAACAAUGGAGAAAUAUGAGACCCUGGGAGACAGAGUUUGUGUUUGUGUGUGACAAAGAGAUAUUGAAGAGGAAGAGUCGUAGGUUCUCAUAUCUAAGGAGCGAAAGACAUCUCUGUAUGAGGGGUGUGCGAGUGGCACACAUGGGAAUAGUAGAGAGAAAUGAGACCCCGGGAGACAAAGUUUUGUGUCUGUGUGAGAGAAAGAGAUUCCACAUGGAGAAUCAUAGUUAGAGACAAAUAGCAGGGAGCAAGAUAUACCUAGAGAGAGAUAGAGUGAUGAAGGUCGAGGGAGAGAGUACCGUCAGUGUGUUACGAAGAUAAAAGAUCAUUGUCGACGUACAGGUAGCACGAGAGAUACCUGAGAGACGAUGAACACGUAUAGGUAUAGAGAGAUAGUCCUAUAUAAGCAUGAGUGAUAGCUAUAUGAGACGAAUAUCUCGAUUAAAGGGGAUUCAAAUAUUUAAACUAGAGAUCACAAAAUCGAUAAUAUCAUAACGCAAAUUGGUGUAUCAAACAUGCAUAUUCAUUUGAAUUUGGGCACACGUGUAAUGUUAUAUAGUUUAUCAAUAUUGGCGAGAUUCUUCAAUUACAAACAAUGCAUGGUUUAUAUGCAAUUAAUGUCUAAACGGGAUUACACUCUAUGUUGCGUGUGUGAAACACAUUAUACAUGUUUGAGAAGUAAAAAAAACUCCGCAUGAAACACACAUUAAUUGGAGACAGUUAGCGAGGAAUGCAUACAUUGGAUUUCAACAUAAAGUGGUUUCAAAUAUUUGAAAAUCCAAAUUGAUGGAUACAACCUUAUGAAUCUGAGAUCAUGCCAUUUGUAAACCAUAUUUAUGUAUAAAUGGUGUUGUGCUUUUGAAAGUAUAUAUAAAAAAAUGAUGUAUAUAGAAUGUAAUUCCAAUUGAAAAUGGAUCCCGCCUGAAAAAAACAAAAUACAAACGGGAUUCAAAUUGAGUUGGCACGGUAAACGUGCACUCUGCAAAAUUUGAACGAAGCGGGGAAAGUCGCAGUAACCGCCCGAAACCAAAAUCUGCGAGAUGGAAAUCACUACUGCCUAUCCCUGCCACGCAAAGCCUAUCUGUUGGAUUUCUAUAGGUUUCGAUAGGGGUAGGUUUGUAAUUUCACCCAAACGUUACGUAACCGCCUCUCACCCGGAUUCAUACACGGUGGGCGCCAAAACACAGUGUGUCCUCGGCCAAAAUCGACUCCCUCCCCGAUUCAUAUUCAUACACGGUGGACACCAAAAACAAACUCUCGUCAGCAAAUAUUUGGUGUAUGCGAUAUUACCGUCCUAUCCCCAACCGACUAAUGUUGAUGUGAUGUACUAGAAAUUUGAAAUGGGGGCUAAGUUUGUAAAUCCUCGCAUUUGAGACAAGCGCGCCCUGAAUACAUGGUUCCCCCUUCCUCUCUACCUCCCUUUUCCCCAUUCAUACUCCGUGGGCGCCAAAACACCCUCUCCACCCCACCCUCCUCCGUCCGCCGCCCCAUCCACCGCCGUCCUCCUCCACCAUGCCGGAGCUGAUACCCCGAUGCCGUCGUCUAUUACAAGAGAUCGACCUCUCUCAUCCACGGCUUCGGACCGGGAUCCUUGCAUCCCGUCCUCUCGCUUCAUCCCCACCAUCAUCCACCUUGCCGGCGCCGCUCCUAUGACCGUCUCGUCCACCGCGCCCUGCCGCCACCGUCUACCCUCCUAGAUCUGCUUCCAUGCCGCCAACAGCCAUCGCUACCGUAGCACCGUCAAAUUCUCAGCAGAUGUGUACACGUCACCGCACCAGAGGCGGUACUCUUUCGUAUCUGCUCACCUUAUUUAUCGUAGCAAGAAAAUAGAUCGCCACUGCUUUACUAUGAUUUCUUGUCUUGGUUGUGAAGUUGCCUUUGUCCAGUUUGCACCUUCAAAUCUGCCAUGGCACGCUCAACACUAUACUCGCAAUGCUUAUGGUUUUCCCCUUUUAUAUUCCACACUAGUUAAAUCACAGUAGACUAAAUUUCAAAAUUGGGUCAGUCGAUUUUUCAGAGCUCGCCGGAGUUCGCCGGUUCGAUCGAAGGGGCUCGGGUGGUUGUGGGGCCUCGCCGAACGAAGAAAACUCAACGUGGGUGGGGUUGGGGCGGGGUGGGGUGGGGUGGCGGAGGAACACAGGCGGUGGGGGCCGGUGGUCCGGGCGGCGGCCCGUGCGUUGUUCUGUAUGGGAAGAAUCAGAGACGAGGAAGAAGAAGGGUUAGGAGAUGUAGGAUCUUCAUCCAACCGCCGGAAAUGGUCGAGAGACAGCUGGGAGUUGCAUUCUUAAUGCGCUCUUGUUCAUCACGUGUGGGCACUGCGCAACCAACAUUUUAUUAUCCAAAAUCUGCUUGCUCUUCUUUACCAUGUUCCUCUUCCGUUCUUCUUUAAUAUGUACUCUCUCUGUUCCUAAAUACAAGUCUUUGUAUAGAUUCCACCAUGGACUACAUAUGGAGCAAAAUGAGUGAAUCUACACACUAAAAUGUAUCUGGAUACAUCUAUAUGUGAUCCAUAGUGGAAAUCUCUACCAAGACUUAUAUUUUGGAACGGGGGGAGUAUGAUAGUAGUACGGUAUGUUCCUUGUACUGAAGAUGAGCAGGGACAUUUGCAGUGUAGAGGUCUAUAUGGUCGAUUGUGAUGGACACUUUGAGCCUGUUUGAUUCGUAGGAUCUUGUAAACAUAGGAAUAGGAUUUAUAGUGGCCUGCCCACUUGAAUCCUAUAAGAAUAGCAAGGAAAUGCGGGGAGUUGUGUCGCCUUUGAGAGUUACACUGAUAUUAACAGUACCGCACCUUCACUUGAAGAGAGCUGGUAUCCGAAGCCUUUCUAGCCGUACCGGCAAUACUAGCACAUAUAUUCCAGCAAGUUCCACUUUGCUGAUUUUACUCUGAUGCUUAAGGUUUUCCCGUUAUAUCUACACUAUGAUCUGUGUAGCUGCUUUGUGUCACAGUAGCAGCAGUCCACUCUUGAAGCUAAACACUGCAAUGACUUACAAAAUUGGCACCAAGGCAUCGAGUGCCAUUCUAGAUGCAAUGAAACUCAUACGCUCCCCACCUAUUGAUUCUUGUUCAGAAUAUGAUCCUAAUGACUAUUCUAACCUCGAGGAGUCAAAGGCAGAUGGCCUGUCCUGUUCACCCAUCAAGGUGCCUGUUCUAAUUUGGCAAUGUUUUAUUGAUUGCGGGUAUCUUGCAUAUUUUGUCUUGCAUUUCUUCUACUUUGUUGCACCACCAUCUGCUUAGUUUACUCAUCAUAUAUGUCGAGAUGCCAUGCCCAUCCAUUAUCAAUACAUAUUCCAUCUGUCAUCAUACCAUGUUUUUCCACUCAAAUGAUGUUCUUGUGCAUCAGACAUCAAAAAGGAAGAGGGUGAUUGCCGAACCUGAAGGAGCACCAGCAAAGUCCUUGAAAAACGUGGUGGUGCCGGAGAAAUCAGACAUCACCCCACUUAUAUUGGUUGUACAACCAGUGACACAAAAUGUAGGACCGACUCCAACAGACUGUACCCAUACUUCACUGGCCACACCACUAGCCCCACCACACAGGACCUGCACUCCAGAAAAAGGUAUACCAAUUUCAUUUGCCAUACCACCAGCUGUACCACAGAAAAAUCCCACUCCAGCAAAAAGUACAGCAAGUCCACCGGCCGAAGACCUAUCCCAACUGCAGAGAUGGCCAAUUCCUGCAGAUUGGAACUCCAUUCCAUUUAUUCCUAGUUUAAAAGACAAUGCUUUUAAUGUUGUUAGGGACUACGUGCAUAUAUUCCCAUCAUGGGAAGAUUAUUGUGAAGACAAACACCAUUUUCACAUCUUCCUGUCCAACUUACGUGUAAGUGCUAUUAUUCAUGGUUAUUAUUUUCCUGUUUUCUGCUGAUUGAACACAUCAAUGAUUUAUAUUACAUUGCUGUAACUAGGUGAGGGUCAAUCUGGAUAGUCAUGACGAGCAAAGCUUGCUUGUGCUUUUCAAGGAAGCAUUGCAGCAAUAUCGAUGUUAUCUGAGGAAAUCACACUUUGAUGGCAAGUAAACAAAUUUCCGGUGAAGUCUCCUGUGCUAAAUUUAGAAGACAUUGAAUGGAAAAACCUUGUUAUGCACUAGUCUCGUUCCCAGGAUGAGGUAAUGUCUAUGAAAUCACAUGACAAUUUGAACUUCUACUUUUUCGCAUGUGCCUUACGGAUCUUUUUUGCAGGAAAUCUGCUCGAAGAAGAAUUCCGGUUUGAAAAGAACGAUAGGAUAUCGCAAAUAUGCUACUCACUGCUUUGCUCUUGUUAGUACAUGUUGUCAUGUAUCACUGUACUUGCAUACAUACCUGGUUCAUCAUGUGACAACAGUAUGCAUGAUAGCUUGCUUAUCAAUUGUUCGCUCCAAAUUAUCUGAUCUGUAUGAAUGGUUACAUUAGUGUAGAAUAUAUCCAAUGCCAAUGUUUUUUUAGCUCUGCAUUGUUCUUGUAAGUACAUGUUGUCCUUUAUCAGUAUAUUUAUAAUGACAGGUAGUUGUUCAUGUACCAUCACUCUGCAGCUUAUUUUCCUUUGGCCUCCAUUUUCUACACAUCAGAUCUAUAUUUACUCUUACCAUAAGGUUGGUACUGAAGAAGUUUAGUUGUGCAUUGCUCUUGGCUGUACCUUUUGCCUGUAUCACUGCACUUACAUUUAUAGCUACUUGGUUAUGUAGCAUCACUCUUCGUCUUAUCUUAAAUAUUCUCCAUUUUUUUGUAUAUUAUCACAUCUAUAUUUACUCUUAACAAAAUGUAGAAUAAAGGCAAUGCUUUUGAAGAAGAUUCUGUGGUAAACUGCUUGAAUUGCCCCCCUAUCAGCAUGGACAAGGCCUUUAUAGAGCCUGUCUUCACCAAUAAUGUAAGUUUUUCCAUCUCAAGCCUUCAAACUUUGUUGUAUUUAUUUGGUUAGGCAUGACUGCAACAGCUGUUUAUUUUUAGUGUUUGCAUCAAAUUGCUUGUUUAAAGUUUAUUAUGUAGUUCAUAAACAAAAGUUUGUCUUUUCUCAAUUUAAGUUUUCAGUUGUACAACCAAGUUCCUUCUUCAUACCAUGUAAAUUAAACUAUACAGAGCAAGUGAUCUUAUUUUUCACUGCAUGUAUGCUUCUGUUCUUCAUCUCUAAUCCAGUGGUGUGGUGAACCUACCCACUACAGCACAAUGUCAUAUUCUGCAAUGUCUUAACUAUGAACAAUGUCAUAUCAUUCUACUAUUAUUUAAAUCAUCUCUUUAUUCGCCAAUCUGAAAUGGUAUAAAUUGACAGCACACUAACCAUUGAUACUUAUGAGUUCUUGAUCUGUAAUCCAGUGGUGACGUGAAGCUGCCAACUCCUUCACAAUGUCAUUUCCUGCCAUGUCUUGACCUGAACAAUAGCAUAUUGUGUUAAUGCAAUUUUAAACUGUGUCACUUUAUUCGUCAGUAAGAAAUGUGAUGAAUUGUCAGCACUGAUACUUUUAUGUGCAAAACCUGUCAUCUGUCGGCUUGUUUAUCUUUCAGAGUGAGGAAGAUAUAAGUGUUGAACAAGCGCAAUCUCAUCAUCUUGCUCAGCUGCUUGUGUUGCAGCUCCCCAUCAGGGCUAACCUUUCUUGAACUCUAUUGAAGUGCUGUCGGUUUUGUAUAUUAUUUUGUCGGCAUGUUUAUUUGCACUGGUGGCGAUCUUUGAUGCCCAGUGUAUGUAAUCUGCUGUCUGCUUGUGCUUUAUUAUCAUAGUGGCGAACUUUGAUGCCCAGUGGAUGUAAUAUACCGUAAUUUCUUUAUUGUAUAGUCUAGGUUUUUUCUUAUUCACAAUGCUGUAGUUAUUUUACUAUAUAUGUAUCAUGUCUUCGCAGUAAACCGGGCAAACCAUAAAAUUACGGUACAUAAUCGGGCCGUCAUGCAAUCACGAUGUAGGUUUUGCCUGAAACGUGCCGAACUGCUCACGGGCCGGCAGCAGCCCGAAAUGAACCCCGGACCAUGAUUGUGCGAAUCAAAUCACGGGCUUUUAAUAGGCCAACAUUGUCUCGAUCCUUGUUUGGCCCAAUCAGAUAUCGGUUGCGAGUAGGCCGGAUGCAAACCGGGCUGUAGUUAGGCCCAACUAUAUGACGGGCUUUUAACAGGCCGAAAUAUUAAACGAUCCCUUAACAGGCCAAAACUAAUAUCAGGCCGAAUUACUAAGUGGGCCUUUAGCAAGUGGGCCCAAAAGCAUAGUGUCCAGUUGACGGGCCGAAUCUGAUAUGGGCCAUAAUUGAGCCCAAAGCCUCUUAAAGGGCCGGACCUGAUCUGGGCCGUAAUUUGGCCCAGAACAUGGUAGGCUUUUAACGGGCCGGAUCUCAUACGUGCCACUAUUAGGCCCGGAGCGUGGCAGGCCAUUAAUGGACCGGAUCAAAUAUGGGCCGUCAUUUGGCCCAAAACAUGGCAGCCAGUUAAUGGGUCGGCCUACUAGGGUCCUCAAAAUCUUGUGGGCCUACAGCUGGGUCGGCCCAUUAAUGUGGACGAAAUCUCGUGGGCCUUUAGCUGGGCCGGCCCAUUAUGAUCCGCAAGAAUCUUGUGGGCCUUUACCUGGGUCGGCCCAUUAUGGCACACAAAAAUCUUGUGGGCCUUUACCUGGGCCGGCCCAUUAUGUCCCGCAAAAUCUUGUGGGCCUUUAGCUGGGCCAGCCCAUUAUGGUCCGCAAAAUCUCGUGGGCCUUUAGUUGGGCCGGCCUAUUAUGGUCCACAAAAUCUUGUGGACCUUUAGUUGGGUCGGCCCAUUUAAACUUGAUGGGCCGGUCCACGUGUCAACAUAUCAUAGGCGCGUCUCGCCCAUUGGAUGAGUGACACCUGUGCCAAUGCGGACCUGACACGUGUCCCCUCCAACCAAUGAUGAUUUUACACGUGGAAAAUCCCCAUUGGUCGGGGCUGUUAACAGGUUGUCGGAUCCAAAACCCGACCCGAUAGCUUAACGGCGUUCCGUUAUGGUGGAUGCCAUGUGUCGGUCACCCUUGACGAAAGCACUUUUGUGACGCGUGAUUUAUCGUCAUGGAAGUGGACACUUCCGUGAUGAUAAUUUUGGUAAUGUCAUGGAACACUUCUACGACAGCACAUGUAUGACUAUCUUGAUUCUGUCAUAAAUUUGUCAUGGAUGUACAGGCAUGACAAAAAACGCAACCUACUGUGACAAACACGUAUCAUCACGGAAGUGUAUUUUUUGUAGUGCAUCACCUGGCUAGACUUGCAAGCUGCUGAUAUGUCUCCAUCAUAUCUACUUUUCCAUACACUUUUGCCCUUGUUUUGGACUCUAACUUGCAUGAUUUGAAUGGAACUAACCCGGACUGACGUUGUUUUCAGCCAAAUUGCCAUGGUGUUAUUUAUGUGCAGAAACAAAAGUUCUCGGAAUGACCUGAAACUUCACAGAACAUCUUUUCGGAAAUAAUAAAAAAUCCUUGUAAAAGAUGAAGACCAGGGGGGCCACCACCUGUCCACGACGGUGGAGGGCUCCCCCCCCUAGGGCGCGCCCCUACCUCGUGGGCCCCCUGGAGCUCCUCCGACCUAAACUCCAACUCUAUAUAUUUGGUUUCGGAGAGAAAAAAUCAGAGAGAAAGAUUCAUCGCGUUUUAUGAUACGGAGCCGCUGCCAAGCCCUAAAACCUCUCGGGAGGGCUGAUCUGGAGUCCUCUCGGGGCUCCGGAGAGGGGAAUCCGUCGGCAUCGUCAUCAUCAACCAUCCUCCAUCACCAAUUUCAUGAUGCUCACCGCUGUGCGUAAGUAAUUCCAUCAUAGGCUUGCUAGACGGUGAUGGGUUGGAUGAGAUCUAUCAUGUAAUCGAGUUAGUUUUGUUAGGGUUUGAUCCCUAGUAUCCACUAUGUUCUGAGAUUGAUGUUGCUAUGACUUUGCUAUUCUUAAUGCUUGUCACUAGAGCCCAAGUGCCAUGAUUUCAGAUCUGAACCUAUUGUGUUUUCAUCGAUAUAUGAAUGUUCUUGAUCCUAUCUUGCAACUCUAUAGUCACCUACUCUGUGUUAUGAUCCGGCAACCCCGAAGUGACAAUAAUCAGGACCACUCCCGGUGAUGACCAUAGUUUGAGGAGUUCAUGUAUUCACUAUGUGCUAAUGCUUUGUUCCGGUACUCUAUUAAAAGGAGGCCUUAAUAUCCCUUAGUUUCCAUUAGGACCCCGCUGCCACGGGAGGGUAGGACAAAAGAUGUCAUGCAAGUUCUUUUCCAUAAGCACGUAUGACUAUAUUCGGAAUACAUGCCUACAUUACAUUGAUGAAUUGGAGCUAGUUCUGUGUCACGCUAUGUUAUGAUUGUUACAUGAUGAACCGCAUCCGGCAUAAUUCUCCAUCACUGAUCCAUUGCCUACGAGCUUUCCACAUAUUGUUCUUCGCUUAUUUACUUUUCCGUUGCUAUUGCUAUCAUUACUACAAAAUACCAAAAACAUUACUUUUGCUACUGUUACCUUUUGCUACCGUUACCACUACUAUCGUAUUACUUUGCUACUAAAUACUUUGCUGCAGAUAUUAAGUUUCCAGGUGUGGUUGAAUUGACAACUCAGCUGCUAAUACUUGAGAAUAUUCUUUGGCUCCCCUUGUGUCGAAUCAAUAAAUUUGGGUUGAAUACUCUACCCUCGAAAACUGUUGCGACCCCCUGUACUUGUGGGUUAUCAAGACUUUUUUCUGGCGCCGUUACCGGGGAGCAUAGCUCUAUUUCUUUGAGUCACUUGGGAUUUAUAUCUUCUUAUCAUUAUGAAGAACUUGAGAGAUUCAAAAACCAAGAUUUAUCCCUCAACUACAAGGGGAGGUAAGGAACUGCCAUCUAGCUUUGCACUUGAUUCACCUUCUGUUUUGAGUAAGCUUGCGACACCUGAACCUGCUUCUGCUAUUCGUUCUGAUAUGUCGCAUGUUAUUGAUGAUGCCAUUUCUGCUAUGCAUGAUACUUAUGAUGAAACUACUUCUAUGCUUGAUACUACUGUGCCACUUGGUGAAUUUCUCGAUGAACAACUUGCUAGGGUUAGAGAGACUGAAAAUAUUGAAUUCGAUAAUAUUGAUACAAGUGAUGAUGAAGAUUCUUCCCCUAAUAAUGAACCACUUGUUAGUUCUGAAGGUUAUGUUUUUGAUAAAGAAGCUUCUUUAGCUAUUUUAGCUUGCAAAGAUAGAUACGAACUUAAGAGGUUAUUACCUAAAUGGAAUAAGCAAUCUCUAAAUGAUAAGAUGAAACCUGACCCUACUUUUGCUACUUCACCUAUCUUUGUUACUGAUAAAUAUUUUGAAUUCUCCGUUGAUCCUGAUAUAAUUACUUUGGUUGAAUCUGAUCCUUUUCAUGGCUAUGAAUCUGAAACUGUUGUGGCACAUCUUAGUAAAUUAAAUGAUAUAGCUACCCUGUUCACUAAUUGUGGUGGUUUUGUCACGGCAGAUGUCCUAGAGAAAGGACUUAGUCAUGGAGCCAUCGCGACAGGUUAGCUUGAAGGGGUUAAAGCGGACACAGGGACGCAAGAGAGUUAUACUAGUUCAGCCCCUUCGAUGAAGGUAAAAGCCUAUGUCUAGUUGUGAUGGAAUUGAUGGGUUUUCGAUGACUAGGGAGCAAACAAGCUUCGUCUAUGUCUCGAGUUGUUGUCUCUCUUUGAACUGCCGCCGGGUCGUCCCCUUAUAUACACGGGUGACACCCGUCGGUUCACAGAGUCCCAACACCGGUCGAUAUUCGUAUUCCGGGUUGGUCUCUCCUUAUUCCUAACUUACAAUACAAGUUUAUAUACAAAUCCCGGUUUAUAGCUACAAGUCUUGAACCGGCUACGGGCCUUAGGCCCUCAUCUGCCUUCUUGGGCUUUAUCACUCUUGAAUUACUGAUGAAGUUGACCCGGCCCAGAUAGGCCGGUUUACGCCCAGCAGUAAUAUCCCCAACAUUAGGCCCCAGAUUGAUUUGAACGGGUUCAUGUCAAUCCUUUAACAAAAGCUUCAUCUUCAACAUCUUCUCAUAAAUUGGUAAACCGCCAUGAUGUCAUCUUCUCUGAUUGCUGUAAACCGGAGUGACGUCACCUGUCAUAACGAAGCUAUCCAUUAUGCUUGUUUGUUUAAUAGCUCUGUGAAAAUCGAGGUGAUAGCUCCAUUUCGUGGCCCCUUGAUUGUCGCGCCUGACACAUGUUCUUUCGCCUUAUAAAUAGGACCGAAGGGUCAUUUCUUUUCUCCCCUUCGUGCCUUUCUUCUUCGUCUUCCUCGCGUCGCCAGCCUCAGAGCUCCGCCGUCGUCGUCGACCUCUGCCUCAACCUUGGCCGCUGCAUCAACCUGAGCGCACCAGAGCAUUGCGGCAACCUUCCGUGUCUUCCUCAGCUCCGGUAAAUCUUCUAUCCUUUCCCCCGCAGAUCUGACCUAGGGUUUCACAGUUCUUCAGUGUUCAUCGUCUGCCUCUUGCUCAUACGAUAGAUCUUUAGAUGACUCCGCAAAUCUUUACUCUGUGCAAUGGUAGCUGUUUUACCCUUCGCCUUCACUUACACAACUCAAAACCAUAGAUCUAUAUGUACGUCUUGCUCAUUGAUUCGGUACUGCUCCUUUUGGACCUCUGAAUAUUUAUCUUUUUUCUGAACUUGCUUCAGAUCCAUCGCUGUAGAAAAAUCUUACGAAAUCUGUUUCUAUAAACUUACUCAUCUGCUUCAAUGUUCAAACCAGGUGGUUUAACCUUGUAGAAAAAAAUUGCCAAACCGGUAUAUACCAUUAGUCCCCUUGUUGAACCGCCAGAUGUUGUUGCUUCAUAAAAGUCCGGUUCAGAUAGAUCUGUCUCCGGUUUAACAUUGCACAUACCAAUGUACCUUGAUCAAAUGCAUUUUUGAACCGGGAUCUUCUACCUUGUAGAUUCCAUCAUGGCUAAGCAAGUAUAUGAGUGCAAUUGGGUUCCUUCUCGCGUCACAGAGGCUCAGCUGGACGAUCUAGUCCCGAUCGGCGCUUUAGGCAGCAAAGAUACAAUCCAUUGGAGCGCUCCUAGCAAAGAAUGCCCUCCCACUCCUCAAGGAGAGGUUGUUGUUUUCAUAGAUCACUUAGCUCGGGGCUUUAAGCCGCCUGGUUCUAAAUUUUACCGGGAUGUUUUGGCCGAUUUCCAACUCCAUCCACAAGACACUGGCCCCAAUUCUGUUACAAAUAUGUGUCACUUCCAAGUGCUCUGUGAGGCGUUCUUUCAAUAGGAGCCCACAGUGGAAUUGUUCAGAGACCUUUUCCAUCUAAACCGCCGUACUGAGUUUACUGACAGCUCCAAUACAGAGUUGGGUGGUGUGGCGAUCCAGAAAAGGAAAGAGGUCACAUACCCUCACGCCAAACUGCACAGCCACCCCAAAGAGUGGAAUCAGACAUGGUUCUAUUGCAAAGACACCUCCCCUGCUGGUGAGAAUCCCUUGCGUGGCUUUCGUCUGGAGCGGCUCAGCAAUACACACCCUUUUCCGCAAAGAUUGACUGCCCAGGAGAGAAGCAAAUAUGCUCCUCAACUGUCGAAGCUCAGAGCCUUUAUGGCCAACGGUUUAACAGGGGUUGAUCUCGCUCGCUGUUGGAUAUCAUGGAGCAUACUGCCCCUUAGUCAGUGCUCCGGUUUGAUGUGCGAGUAUACCGGCAGUGUUGAUGACCCACUGCGACAUUCCAAAAUCCAGCUCACCGAUGAAGAAAUCACAGAGGUUGUGAAUAAGAUGCUGAAUGAACCGGAACAUAUCUGUGCUAAAAACGGUCUGCUUCCCUUCUGUGCCACCAACAAACCGCCAGCUGUAAGACCUUGAUUUUUCCUUUUGUUGAAUCUGCUAUUGAUAUAUCUGGUCAUUGUUUAAUAUCAGUGUCUGUGUAAUCAGGGCAAUGAUCCGUUUUGGAGCAAGAAAUUGCCGCAGGAGAAACCAGAAAAACCAGACAAACCGGAAAGAGAAACCCGGCAAAAGACUAAAGUUGUAAAGAAGAUAGCCCACAGGAAAAGAACUACUGCAUCUUCUAAUCCGGCCCCUGAUGAUGAUGUGAAUAAUCCGGACCUUGAGGUAGAGCUUGACUCACUUGGCUUAUUUUUCAUGCGUCUUAUUGAUGAUGAUAUUUGUCAGGAUGAUGCCAAAGCCAGUCACGCUGAUGCUGCAGAGGUAAUUAUUCUCUCUUCCGAUUCAGAACCUUUGGCUUCGCUAAAAAUCCGUCAGGCAAACCGAAAAGUUAAAUUUUCUCAUCCUCUUGCUUAUUUGGAUCCCAAAUUUCUUAUGAAGACCCAACAGCACGAAGCUCGUCGCACAACCCGGCACAGCGGCCAGGUAGUUACCUCCGCCGGUUUACCGAAUAGUCCGGUUCGGAAACGCCGUUCAGAGGUCUCUAAUUUGCUUGUCAGUGAUUGUCCUAAAGCGGGCUGCUUUCGUCAGCCUCUUAAUCCAUCUGACUCCGAUUACCAGGUUACUUCCCACUCAUCUUCUGGCGAGUCAUCGGCUACUCAGCUGCCACCUCUCAAAAUGGUGCUUGUGUAAGCUAUACUUAUUAUGAUAUUUGCAGCACAUCACCUUAGAACAUAUGCUGUAUUUGAUUUUGUUAUUCUUUUCCGGGCCAAACCUAGGCCAAGCAAGAAGGCCUGCCUGGAAAAAGCGGCCGAAGAAGAUGCCAUUCUUGAGCCAGGCAAGACACCCGAUCUUGAAGCGGCUAUUCCCGAGGAUAUACCCAACGAUCCACCGCAGCAAGACGACGAUCUUAUUGCUGAAGAGAGACCUACUGAUGCCUCAGGUCCUGUCAAUCAGCCCACAGGCUCCAUCCGGAUUGAGAGAUCCACCGGUCCAGCAAAACCUACUGACAAGCCAACAGCCCUAGUGAAAACCGGUGAUACUUAGGAGGAUGAGGUUAUCAUUACUGGUACUGGCCAUACCGAGCCAAGCAAUCCUGUUGCUUUGUCCAAACCUUCUACCAAGGAAGAAUUUGUUGCCUUUGGUAAAGGCAAGUGGAAUGCUGAUCUAGCAACUUACGCUGCUCUGAACGCCCAAGAUAUCCAUUCCGGCUACCUGAACCGGCUGUAUAGCAGCCGUGACUAUGAAGCCAGUCUGGUUAAUAUGAUGAAGGAUAAAUACGAGGUAACUUCCAUAUGCUCUUUCCUGCUUCUAUGCUUCAAUACUUGCUGACUCUCCUAGCCCCCAAGGGCCAGUUUGUAAUCUUCUUUCAAACCGGGACUUACUAAUAUAAAUCUUAAUGUUUUGAAAUUCGCCGAUGUAGCCCCCAAGGGCCGGUUCAACUUAGCGUAGUUAAACCGGUACUUUAAGUAAUUGAAAUCGCCGCAUCAGAAUAUAUAUACGAGCAAAUAGCCAUUAGCCCCCAAGUGCCAAGUUUAAUACUUGUAUUGAUCUUGGGACUUUGUAAGCAAUUGAAAGAUGAAGAUCGAAUAUGCAUUAGCCCCCAAGUGCUAAGUGCAUAACUUGUUAUGUGGUUGGCACUUCAAUCUUUGUACCAUUUUGUUGAAGCAUAUAACUGUCUGCAUGCAGGCGGAGCUGAAGACGAAAGAAAGCCAAGUCGCCGAUCUCCAAGAAAAUCUAAAAACCCAACAAGCUGAAACCUCCAAAGCAAAAGAGGAAUUAGACAAUGCUUUAAGCGCCAUGGAACAGCUUAAGGAGAGCUUCAAAAAGAAGCGGGCGGAUUGGGCCACUGAAAAGUCCGCUUUAAUCAAACGAGCAGAGGAUGCCGAGGCUGCACUAAAACCAGUGGCGGAUGAACUGACCAGCAUAAAGCGGCACGUGCAUGCCAUGACUAUUGCUAUCUUUGGUAAGCCUGUUUGACUUCUGAAUUGGCUCUGUCUUCUUACAGAGUUGCCAGUUUAUUAACUCUUUAUGGUAUUUCAGGGACACGCAUUGGUCACUUGGGGUCAGAUGUGCGGAAGAAACUGAAAGCCGCCUAUACAUUGGUUGAACAAUUGUAUACUGGUGCCCAGCGGAUCAUCUGUACCGCAUCCCAUAACAAACCGGCGCCCACUUUGAUUCAAGACACUCUGAUGAAAAUGUCGGUGCUUCCUGCCCGGGUUGAAGAGCUGAAGAAAUCUGCUGCUCGAACCGGUGCGAUCAAUGCCUUAAUCCGGGCAAAAGCCUAGGUGCCGAAUUUUGAUCCUAUUGAAGCGGCUCAGGGCUAUCCCAGCUUGAAGGAAGACGGGUCAGAGUUUGGUGAAGCGGAUCUGCGAGCAAUAAACCGGGAGGUACGUCCGCUAGCUUGUCAAUUGGCUGAAGAAGCAGACUUGUCUCAUUAUCAAGCCCAAUAUGACAAUCAGAACAAGCGAAUAGCUGCACCAAUCCAUGAAUCGGAAAAUCUGAUCCCUCCAAUCCGUAAGCAUACUUACGCUCCCGAUAUUGACCCGUCAUUGCUGAUCCAUGAUGAAGCUAUUUUUCAAGCACUAAUGGGAAUCGUCUGGACAACUAUUGAUUUCCAGCCACUGGGUAGAGAAAUGGAGGCUGAAGCGGCGCAGGAUGACCCACAACCAUCAGGCCAGGCUGGUGACCAAGCUUGAACCGGAAGCCGGUUUUAAAACUGCCUCUCCUUUGCGAAAAACAAUGAUAUUAUUAUAGGCACCGUGAUGCCUUGUAAUAAGCUAGCCGAUACUUUUGAUGUUGAUAUGCCUUCGUGCAUAAUUUGUUCUUCCUGUGGUGAUGAACUUUCCAAAGCACUUUCUGCAAUAAGAAACUCUUCAAGUGCCACCGCGGUUGUACCGUCAGGCGGAAUAUGAUGUCUGCAUAUAUGAAGUCAAAACAUCCAAAAAAAUUUAAGUAUAUGACCAAAAUUUUGAGAUACAUAAUACCUGCCAUCGUUGAGCGUGAAGUUGGCUUGGCCAAUCUUGAAGUGGAGUUUUGCAAACCCACACUAUUGGAGGAAAUAACAGCUCCUGUAUAUAUAUAUGACGCUGGUUUACCAUGUAAACCAUGCCGGGUUAUAAUAAACACUGUGUUACUCCAUAAGAGGAUGUUAACAACAAGGAUCAAACCGGGCAAAUAGUCUCCAGAUUGACGUGAACUAUGUUCCGUCAAUUGAUUGGUUGAAAACUUUGUCGAUUUUAAAAAAACGCAAUAAAAAAGAAAAGAAAAAGUAUCUUGCAAAGAAAAGUGCGAAGCAAAAGCAAUGACAAAACCUUUGCAAAAAAGGUUUAUUUGAGCUGAUCAAAUGGCGUUACCAUGACCGAACACGACCAGGCUCCCGUUAGGUGUAACUAUGGUUCUAGUCAGCCAGGUCCCCAAAUGAAACUGUGGCAUUUAUGCCGACCAAGUGGCAUGGCAAUGGUUCGGGUUCGACCAAGCCCCCAAGUGAUUUUGUGGCCUUAGGCCAAUCAAGAGGCAUGAUUGGUUCAAACGUGACCAAGUCCCCAAGUGAUCUGGUGGCUCUCGCCUAUUAAGAGGUAUGGUAUUGGUUCGGACACGACCAAACCUCCAAGUGAUAUAACAUGAUGCUUUUUAAAAAGCGAACUCAAGGGGUAAACCGGAGGCCGCUUUAGAACAACUCCGUGUAACCACACAUGAUGUAAAAGAACAGAUACCCCGCUUUAGCUGAGGUUCCGGUUUAUUAUAUUUAAUCAUAAUAUAUACAUCAUUGUAAUAUGUACAUAAGUAGAACCAAUGGCUCAGGUAUAAUAAGGCCGAAGAUGAGCUAUGUUCCACGGCCUGUUGGUCUCCUCCUCUGACGUACGUGAGUCCUUAUGCUCUCGAAUAUCGAUCAGAUAGUAUGACCCGUUGUGCAGAUUCUUGCUGACCACGAAAGGCCCCUCCCAAGGUGGGGAUAACUUAUGCAUAUCAGUCUGAUCUUGGAUGAGCCGAAGCACCAAAUCUCCUUCCUGGAAGGUUCUGGUUCUCACUCGGCGACCGUGAUAACGACGAAGAUCCUGUUGGUAAAUCGCCGAUCGGGCGGCUGCUAUGUCACGCUCUUCAUUCAACCGGUCCAAAGCAUCUUGCCGUGCUGUCUUGUUGUCCGCUUCAAUGUAAGCCGUCACACGAGGUGAAUCAUGACGGAUAUCACUGGGGAGAACCGCCUCCGCUCCAUAAACCAUGAAGAACGGUGUGUAUCCUGUUGACCUGUUGGGUGUUGUAUUGAUGCUCCAUAACACAGAUGGUAAUUCUUCUACCCAACAACUCGGCGUUCUCUGCAAAGGAACCAUGAGCCGGGGCUUGAUGCCUCUCAAGAUCUCUUGAUUAGCUCUUUCUGCUUGACCAUUGGACUGUGGGUGUGCCACUGAUGAAACGUCGAGCCGGAUGUGCUCCCGUUCGCAGAACUCCUUCAUGGCACCUUUGGACAAAUUGGUACCAUUAUCUGUGAUGACACUGUGUGGAAAGCCAAACUGAAAAAUCACUUUCUUAAUGAACUGAACCGCCGUGGCCGCAUCACACUUGCUAACAGGUUCUGCCUCCACCCACUUUGUAAACUUGUCAACCGCCACCAGGAGGCGGGUCUUCUUAUCUUUGGACCUUUUGAAAGGCCCAACCAUAUCCAACCCCCAAGUCGCAAACAGCCAAGUAAUUGGAAUCAUUCUCAAUUCUUGAGCUAGUACAUGAGUACGUCUUGAGAACUUUUGGCAACCAUCACACCGUCUGACCAGAUCCUCUGCAUCAGCAUGAGCAGUUAACCAAUAGAAGCCUUGGCGAAACGCUUUAGCCACCAGAGAUUUUGAACCGGCGUGGUGACCACAAUCUCCUGUGUGGAUCUCACGCAAAAUUUCACGGCCUUCUUCACGAGACACACAGCGUUGAAAUGCUCCUGACAUACUGCAAUGAUGCAACUCUCCGUUGAUAAUAGUCAUGGACUUGGAUCGUCGGAUUAUCUGUCUGGCCAGAAUCUCAUCCUCUGGUAACUCGCCCCGGUUCUUGUACGCCAGGUAGGGAAGCGUCCAAUCUGGAAUAACAUGAAGAGCUGCCACCAAUUGAGCCUCCGGAUCAGGAAUAGCCAAAUCUGCUUCACCAGGGAUCUUGACCGACGGGUUGUGCAGCACAUCCAGAAAAACAUUGGGUGGAACCGGUUUGCGCUGAGAGCCCAGCCGGCUUAAAACGUCCGCCGCUUCAUUUUUCCGCCGGUCCAUGUGGUCCACCUGAUAGCCUUUGAAAUGACCUGCAACAAUAUCCACCUCACGACGAUAUGUUGCCAUGAGUGGAUCCUUGGAGUCCCAAGUGCCACACACUUGCUGAGCCACGAGGUCCGAGUCACCGAAGCACUUAACUCGACCUAGAUUCAUCUCCUUAGCCAUCCAGAGACCAUGGAGCAAGGCUUCAUACUCAGCUGCAUUGUUAAUACAAGGGAACAUUAAGCGGAGAACAUAACAAAACUUAUCACCUCGCGGGGAAGUUAAUACGACUCCAGCCCCUGAACCUUCCAAUUGCCGGGAUCCGUCAAAAUGGAUGGUCCAAUAUGUGUGAUCCGGAUUUUCCUCAGGUGCUUGCAUUUCCGUCCAAUCAUUGAUAAAAUCAACCAGUGCUUGAGACUUAAUCGCCGUCCGAGGCACAUACUUCAAAUCGUGCGGCCCAAGCUCUAUAGCCCACUUGGCAAUCCGGCCAGUUGCUUCCCGGUUCUGGAUGAUAUCCCCCAAAGGAGCAGAACUGACCACCGUAAUUGGAUGCCCUUGGAAGUAUUGUUUAAGCUUCCGGCUUGCCAUAAAAACUCCAUACACCAGCUUCUGCCAAUGCGGAUACCUUUGCUUGGACUCAAUGAGCACCUCGCUGAUAUAAUAGACCGGACGUUGAACCGGAUGCUCCUUACCUGCCUCCUUUCGCUCCACCACAAUAGCCACGCUGACCGCCCGAGCAUUAGCAGCAACAUAUAGCAGUAACGGCUCCUUGUCAAUGGGAGUGGUGAGCACAGGCGGAUUGGCCAAUUGCCGCUUUAAGUCCUCAAAUGCUUCAUCAGCAGCAGAACUCCAAACAAACUGAUCCGUCUUCUUCAACAUCUGAUACAACGGGAUUGCCUUCUCACGAAGACGACUGAUAAACCGGCUUAACGCGGCAAUCCGGCCUGCCAGGCGUUGAACAUCAUUGAUACACUUCGGUUUAGCCAGGGACGUGAUGGCUGUGAUCUUCUCCGGAUUAGCCUCAAUUCCCCUAUUGGACACCAGGAAGCCUAAUAACUUGCCCGCCGGUACACCAAAGACACAUUUUUUCGGAUUAAGCAUCAUCUUGUAUGUCCUCAGGUUAUCUAAAGUUUCCUUUAAAUCGCCAAUCAGAGUCUCCUUCUCGCUGGAUUUAACCACGAUAUCAUCCACGUAGGCGUGUACAUUACGGCCAAUCUGUUUGUGUAGACAAUUUUGCACACAACAUUGAUAAGUUGCCUGGGCACUCUUGAGCCCAAAGGGCAUAGACACAUAGCAGAAGGCUCCAAAGGGAGUUAUGAAUGGCGUUUUCUCCUGGUCCUUAACUGCCAUUUUGAUCUGAUGAUAGCCAGAAUAUGCAUCCAAAAAAGUUAAACGCUCACAACCCGCCAUAGCAUCAAUAAUUUGAUCAAUACGGGGGAGGGCAAAAGGAUCUGCUGGACAAGCUUUAUUAAGAUCUGUGUAAUCCACACACAUGCGCCAGGUGCCGUUUUUCUUAAGGACCAGCACCGGAUUGGCAAGCCACUCAGGGUGAAAAACUUCAACAAUAAAACCAGCUGCUAAGAGCCUGACUACCUCUUCUCCAAUUGCCUUGAGUCUGUCUUCGUUAAACCGGCGGAGGAACUGUUUCACCGGUUUGUAUUUAGGAUCCACAUUAAGGGUGUGCUCAGCGAGUUGCCUCGGUACACCUGGCAUAUCAGAGGGCUUCCAUGCAAAAAUGUCCCAAUUCUCACGGAUGAACUCGAUGAGCGCGCUUUCCUAUUUCGGAUCCAAAUUAGCGCUGAUGCUGAACUGCUUGGACGAAUCGCUAGGUACAAAGUCAACAAGCUUAGUUUCUGCUGCUGAUUUGAACUUCAGGGGCGGAUCAUGCUCCGUAGUUGGCUUCUUUAAUGAGGUCAUGUCCGCCGGAUCAACAUUGUCCUUAUAAUACUUCAGCUCCUCAGUGGCACAAACCGACCCUGCAUAGGCCGCAUCACCUUCCUCACACUCCAAAGCGAUUUUGCGGCUUCCGUGAACCGUUAUUGUCCCCUUGUGACCCGGCAUCUUGAGCUGCAAAUACACAUAACAGGGCCGUGCCAUAAACUUGGCGUAGGCCGGUCGCCCAAAUAGGGCGUGAUACGGACUUUGGAUUUUCACCACUUCAAACAUCAAUGUCUCCGACCUGGAAUCAUGAUCAUCCCCAAAGGCCACUUCCAGAGCUAUCUUACCAACAGGAUAUGCUGAUCUGCCAGGUACUACACCGUGGAACACCGUAUUAGACGGUUUAAGAUUUUUAUCUAUUAAUCCCAUACAAUGAAAGGUCUCAUAGUACAAGAUAUUAAUGCUGCUACCUCCAUCCAUGAGCACCUUGGUGAACUUGUAACCUCCCACCUGAGGUGCCACCACCAGAUCCAACUGACCCGGAUUAUCGACCUGGGGAGGGUGAUGCUCUCUGCUCCAUAUGAUUGGCUGUUCAGACCAACAUAGAUAACGGGGUAUGGCCGGUUCAACAGAGUUGACCGCCUGCCUCUGAACCUUCCGGUCUCGCUUGUCCAAGCUAGUGGUGAAGACAUGGUGCCCACUACUCAACUUCUUUGGGUUGCUCUGGUAACCUGACUGUUGCUGCUGUUGGUUGUAACCACCCUGGUUGUUCUGACUAUUUUGACCAUUAUGUCCGCCCGGAUUACCAUUAAAUCCUGAACCGGAACUUCCUCCACCGUAACCCGGCCCGGAUCCUGAGCCACCGCCAGAUUCGUGAUCAUACCGGAAAUUAUUAGAAUUCUUGAACUCCUGCAUAAUAAAGCAAUCCUUCCAAAGGUGGUUUGCUGGCGCCUCCUUCGUCCCAUGUCUUGGACAGGGCUGGCUUAGCAGAUAAUUUAGGCGGUCUGGGUUAGGGUUGGGUGCCCCAUUACGAUUUUUCGGUUUACCCUUGCGUCGCUGGCCAUUGUCAUGUGCGUUGGUAUUAGCCACAAAGUCCAUGUUACCAUCCGCUUUACGCUUGCCUCCACCACCAUUGCCUGCCCAGUGAUGCUGCUGACCUUUGGAGUUUUUGUUCCUCUUUCCCUUCCCUGUCUUGUCAUCAUCAGAUUCGGGAUCCUUGGUACUAUCAGAAUCAGCAUAUUUCACCAAAGCGGCCAUGAGGGUCCCCAUGUCAAUGCAAUGACGCUUCAUCCGUCCCAACUUCAGCUUCAGGGGCCCAAACCGGCAGUUGCCUUCUAGGGUUAAUACUGCGGUGUCAGCGUUGAUGCGGUCUGAUGAGUGCAACACUUGUGAAACCCGGCGCACCCAAUGAGUCGUUGAUUCUCCUUCCUCCUGGACGCAUGCAGCUAAGUCCCCUAUCGACAUAGGUUGUUUACAUGUAUCCUUGAAAUUGCUGAUAAACCGGGCUCGUAAUUGGGCCCAUGAACUGAUAGAAUUAGCCGGCAAGCUUUUUAACCAAGUAUGGGUCGUUCCUUCAAGCAUCAUGGUGAAGUAUUUCGCACACGCCGCGUCAUCCACAUCAAGCAUCUCCAUGGCCAUCUCAUAGCUCUCCACCCAUGUCUCUGGAGGCUGAUCCGCCAUGUAAUUUGGUACCUUACGCGGGCCCUUGAAAUCCUUGGGCAGGCGCACAUUGCGUAAAGCGGGGAUAAGGCAAGGCACCCCCAAAGAACUAGAAGUAACACCAGGUUCGAUCGAGAUGGUUGGACGAACCGGCGUGAGCUGCCGAGCCUGAUGUUGUGUGGCUAACUCGGCCUCCCUGCGCGCUCGGGCCCGGUUCACCACUUCAUGAGCGUUAUCAGCACCACCCGUCGGGUUGUUGCCACGGGGUGCUCCACGUCGUUCGUUACUCAACACUGCCAGUUCAUCCAUAUGUCUGCUAUAGCUCCGGCUUGGAUGGGGGGUCGAGUGGAUCCGGUCGCGGCUGUACGAGUAUGCUUCCUGUUGGACCAAAGCUGUCCUCAGAAGCUCCUUGACCCGUUGCGUCUCUACUGCCUGCGGCGAAUCACCUUCAAUUGGAAUGGCCUCCAGCCGUGCAGCAGCGACAACGAGAUUGUCCAUCGGGUUGGAGUAGUGACCCACAGGUGUUAAAACAGCCUAAGGUAUAACGGUGUUUUGACGAGGCGAGUCCAUCUGACGAGGCUGAACCGGUGCACCGGUCCCGGGAGCUUCCGCCCGGUUUCCCUCCAGCGGAUUGCCGGUUCCUACUCCUAGAGUGUUGAAAAGGUCUCUGGCCUCAAAAACCGGAGGCAAACGGGAUCGGUACUUCCUCCUCAUGACUUCCUGCGACACACUCUGGUCCAACAUGAGCAUGUAGGCUUGUGCGUCUAAAGCGGCCCGCUCCAUGGCCAUCCUGGUGUCCUCGGCUGCCAGAUCUGCCUUGGCCUGGGUGAUCUAUUCCUUCACUUUUGCAAUCUCUGCGUUGUGAACGCCCUGAUCCGCCGGAUUAGCCUCCGCCAUAAGCACAACCAAUGCAUCAAAUAGCUCUGAUAGAACUUGAGCCGGUGGGCGCACAGGGCCUCCUGCCCCGGCAGCCAUCGCCGCUGCUGAACCGGAGGUUGUUGCCGCAGCGGUCGGAGAAUGAAGCGCUGCUUGUGUGCCAGUCAUGAAUAUUCCAACCCGGUUGGGCAGAUCAGAGGGGUCCGGAAUACUGUCGCCAUCGGAACAGCCCCCAAUCCGGCCGUCUUGUAGCUGAUAAAGAGAUUCAGUUUCUCCGGUCGAUGACUCGUCAUCGGAACAAACGAUGGUAUAGUCGCGAGAUUCCGAUCCAUCCUCAUAACUUCCUCCAUGGAUGACUCCCACGAAGGCACGCUUCAUGGCCGGUUCAACCCGGGCGGAUCGCGCACGCUGAACCGUCUCGACAAGGUCGGUGCAGAUGUCCGGCUCAGGGCCCGGUUCACCGAUCUUGCCAAUGAAAACGUGAAUGCCACCAAAGGGGACCCGGUACCCGUACUCAAUUGAGCCGGCCUCGGGGGCCCAGCCUGCGUCGUCGAUGUAGAACUUGCCGCGACGACUCUUAGUCAUCCGGCCUACAGCGUAGCCCUCGAGUCCUUCAAAGCGGCCCUCCAAGAACCGGAAACCAUCGUGCGAUAGCCCCACGGUGGGCGCCAACUGUCGUGGUUUUGUCACUGCAAAUGUCCUAGAGAAAGGACUUAGUCAUGGAUCCAUCGCAACAGGUUAGCUUGAAGGGGUUAAAGCGGACACAGGGACGCAAGAGAGUUAUACUAGUUCGGCCCCUUCGAUGAAGGUAAAAGCCUACGUCUAGUUGUGAUGGAAUUGAUGGGGUUUCGAUGACUAGGGAGCAAACAAGCUUCGCCUAUGUAUUGAGUUGUUGUCUCUCUUUGAACCACCGCCGGGUCGUCCCCUUAUAUACACGGGUGACACCCGUCGGUUCACAGAGUCCCAACACCGAUCGAUAUUCAUAUUCCGGGUUGGUCUCUCCUUAUUCCUAACUUACAAUACAAGUUUAUAUACAAAUCCCGGUUUAUAGCUACAAGUCUUGAACCGGCUACGGGCCUUAGGCCCUCAUCUGCCUUCUUGGGCUUUAUCACUCUUGAAUUACUGAUGAAGUUGACCCGGCCCAGAUAGGCCGGUUUAUGCCCGUCAGUAAUAUCCCCAACACUAAUGAUGAAAUAACUCGCUACUUUUAUAUCCUUCAAAUAUUUCUAUUCUCAUUAAAAGGUGAUGCUAAGAUAUGGUUUAAUUCUCUGGAUCUUGGUUAUGUGCGUAGUCCCCAGGAUAUGAUCUAUUACUUCUCUGCUAAAUAUUUCACUGCUCAUAAGAAACAAGUUGCUUUAAGGGAUAUAUAUAAUUUUGUGCAAAUUGAAGAAGAGAGUCUCCCACAAGCCUGGGGGACGCUUCUCCAAUUACUUAAUGCUUUGCCUGAUCAUCCUCUUAAUAAAAAUGAAAUACUUGAUAUCUUUUAUAAUGGACUAAUGAUGCGUCCAGAGAUUACCUAGAUAGUUGUGCUAGUUCUAUUUUCAGGGAAAGAACGCCGGAUGAAGCUGAAAUUCUAUUGAAUAAUAUGUUGACAAGUGAAAAUAAUUCGACACUUCCCAAGCCUAUUCCUAAACCAACUCCGAAGAAAAGGGGUAUUCUAUUUCUCAAUCCUGAAGAUAUGCAAGAGGCAAAGAAAUCUAUGAAAGAAAAGGGUAUUAAAGCUGAAGAUGUUAAGAAUUUACCUCCUAUUGAAUUAAUACACGGUCUUAAUUUACCGCCUGUUGAAGAAACAUAUGAUCUUAAUCCUCCACCUAUUGAAGAAACUCAUGGUCUUGAUAACCCGACACAGGUAGUAAAGGUAAAUUCUCUCUAUAGAUAUGAUAAAGUUGAAAUCCCGUUUACUAAAUUUACUAGCCCAUGCUUAGAUGAGUUUGAUAAAUUUAUUGUUAAGCAAGAAGAUUUUAAUGCUUGUUUUGGUAGACAAUUGAAAUACAAUUCAAAUAUGCUUGAACACUUGGGUGAUCAUAUGGCUAAUGUCAAAGGUGAACUUAAAUUUAUUAGUAAACAUGCUUCCAUGGUUACCACUCAAGUAGAACAAGUACUUAAAGCUCAAAAUGAUUUGCUCAAUGAAAUGAAUAGUAAUAAAAAUGAUAACGUUGUAAGAGUUAUGACUAGAGGUGGUAGAAUGACUCAAGAACCUUUGUAUCCUGAAGGCCAUCCUAAGAGAAUUGAGCAAGAUUCUCAGAGAAAUAAUGUAGAUGCACCUAGUCCUUCUAAAAGGAAGAAAAAGAAAAAUGAUAGGACUUUGCAUGCUUCUAGUGAACCUAUUACUGCACCACCUAAGAAUCCAAAUGAUAUUUCUAUUUCUGAUGCUGAAACACAAUCUGGUAAUGAACCUGAAAUUAAUGAUAAUGUUCAUGAUGAUGCUCAACAUAGUAAUGAUAAUGAUGUAGAAAUUGAACCUGCUACUGAUCUUGAUAACCCACAAUCAAAGAAUCAACAUUAUUAUAAGAAAGACUAUGUUGCUAGGAAACAUGGUAAGGAAAGAGAGCCUUAGGUUCAGAAAACCAUGCCUUUUCCUCCCAAACCAUCCAAGAAAAAGGAUGAUGAGGAUUUUGAGCGCUUUGCUGAAAUGAUUAGACCUAUCUUUUUGGGCAUGCGAUUAACUGAUAUGCUCGAAAUGAAUCCUUAUGCUAAGUAUAUGAAAGAAAUUGUUACUAAUAAAAGAAAGAUACCGGAAGCUGAAAUUUCAACCAUGCCUGCUAAUUAUACUUUUAAGGGUGGAAUACCAAAGAAACUUGGAGAUCCAUGAGUACCUACUAUACCUUGCUCCAUUAAAAGCAAUUAUGUUAAAACUGCUUUAUGUGAUCUUGGAGCCGGUGUUAGUGUUAUGCCUCUCUCUUUAUAUCGUAGACUUGAUUUGAAUAAGUUGACACCUACUGAAAUAUCUUUGCAAAUGGCUGAUAAAUCAACUGCUAUACCUGUCAGUAUUUGUGAGGAUGUGCCUGUUGUAGUUGCAAAUGUUACUAUUUUAACGAACUUUGUUAUUCUUGAUAUUCCCGAGGACGAAAGUAUGACUAUUAUUCUUGGAAGACCUUUUUUGAAGACUGCAGGGGCUGUUAUUGAUUGCACUAAAGGAAAUGUCACUUUUCAUGUUAAUGGUAAUGAGCAUACGAUACACUUUCCGAGGAAACAACCUCAAGUUCAUAGUAUCAACUCUAUUGGAAAAACUCCAUCGAUUAUAUUUGGAGGUUUUGAAUAUCCUCUUCCUACUGUCAAGAAGAAAUACGAUAUUCUUAUUAUUGGGGAUGUGCAUAUCCCCGUUGAGGUAACAUAGUGUUAUUCAAAAUUUCUUCGGUUCCAUGUUAUUCAGAAUUAGUUCAUUAACAAGACUUGAUCAACCUUGUUAGUGGAUUCCUUUUGAUGAGCAUGAGAUGGAUGAAACUAGAAAGCAAAACUCUCUGUACCUUCCUUUUACUUUCUGUUAUUUAUAUUAAAUAAAAUAAAAAUAAGUAUUCACGUCUGUUAUUUGAAUAUCCGUGUAAUAUAAAAAAUACCCCAAAAAUAAAAGUUCUCCAAAUGCCCUGAAAUUUAAAUAUGAUUUUUUUCUGGAAUAUUUGAGAAUAUAUGGAACUGAGAACACAGCAGGGGGAUCAACCACCUGGCCAUGAGGGUGGAGGGUGCGCCCUACUCCCUGGGCGCGCCCCCUACCUCGUGGGCCCAUGGUGGAUCUCCUCCACUUAUUUCUGCACCCAUACACUUCCUUUUUCUCCCACAAACACGAAUAUCCAACUCAAGCACGAGUUCUAGCUCAUUUUGCUGCCAUUUUCGAUCUCCUUGCUCAAAGCGCCUCUCUCACAAAACUGCUUGGGGAGAUUGUUCCUUUGUAUGUGACUCCUCCAUUGGUCCAAUUAGUUUUUGUUCUAGUGCUUUAUUCAUUGCAUAUUUUUGCUGCUUAGGUGACCCUGUUCUUGAGCUUGCAUGUCAAAUUUAUAUGGUCAAAAUUAGUUUUGAUGCAUGAUAUAGGCCCUAGGCACUUGUAGGAGUAGUUGCUAUCAAUUUUUCAGAAAAUGAUGAAGAGAUUUUUGAGGGGCUCAUCGAGCCGAAGCUCAAUGGAAAAGCAAAACGAAGAAGCAUAGAGGCCCAAAUAUACUUUUCCUCGCACCGCGGAGGUCCGGCCGUGUGAAUGGCCUUCCGAUGAUUUCUUGAGAGAAGCCGGGAUUUAUAAUGAUUUCUAUUCAUUGGUUGAGAAUGUUGGCCUCACCGACUUCCUUCGCGACCAACGCAAACAGUAUCUUUUACUCACCAAUACUUUUCGGGGGUAGUUUAGAGGAAUCACCUCCUUCAGUAGAGUUUCAUUUAUAUGAUGUGGUUAAGAAGGUGUCACUAUAUGAAUUCCGCAGGGUUUGCAAAGUACCUUUCGGGGGUAGUUUAGAGGAACCACAUCGCAAGGAUGUGGAUGGGUUUAUUGAGACAAUUACUGUAGGGGAAACUAGGGAGCCUUCCGAUGCAAGAAUCACUAGCAUACAUUUUCCUGUUUUACGCUAUUUUUGCAAUAUUUGCUAGUCGUUGCUUAAUUAGUCGCGGAAAUUGUGGAAACCUUAGUGUCCCUGAUAUUACCCUUCUGCUCCAUGGUUUAUAUUCUGAUAACACUGUUAGUAUGGGCGGUAUUAUUGCUAAACGGUUAAGUCUGAACCGUACUAAGGGCCCCAUCUUUGGUGGUAUUUAUGCUUCACGCCCUGCUGCACAUUAUAAUAUACCUAUUAGGCACUAUGAAAAAGAAGAAAAAUUGUUGUCUACUAUUUAUUUAGAUUAGAAGAGUAUGGUAGCGCAUGAUUUUAUUAUAAAGAAUAGGGAAGGGGAGCUGAAAUACAAACUGUUCUUCGAUAAAUGUCAUCCUGAGACUAUCACCUUGCCUGCUCCUUCCUUGUUUGAUUUAUCCUCAGGAAAGUACCUCGUUUCGCUGGAGGAUAUUCACGCCCACCCGAACCCUACAUCAGCCACCGAGCCAGAGUCGGAACCACAAGUUGAUCCUCCACGACAGUCUAAUUACCUGUGGGAUCCGGAGAUGAUUGCCAACCAGUGGCAAUCAGAGCCUUCCUCAUCUCAGUAUGACCCCAACUACUACUAUGGAUAUCAGCCAGGCCAACCGUGGCCAUAGACCAACUUAGGCCAAAAGCCUAAGCUUGGGGGAGUACGUAUUUCUCACCGACAUUAUAUUCAUGUUCACACACUCAUUGCUGGAUAUCGGUGCUCAUACUUUUUCAUUGUAUCAUCCAUGCUAGUUUAUUUUCCUUUUCAUGCUUUCUUCUUGUGUGUUGAAUAAACCUUAAGAAAUACCAAGAAAAAUAGUUGCAACUUUUAAUUAGUUUACUUUCCAUGCUUGUAGUAGUAAUUAAAAAAGGAACCCCAAAAAUAUUUCUUGUUCUUCUUUUGCUUGUUGGGAGCUUUCCCGUGUAAAUAGUUUUAUUUCCUUUUCUUUUCUUUGGGGGUUGAUAGGAGAAGACCAUAAUUAAAUUGUUGAAGUGGCUCUUAUAUGCAUUAUUGACAAAAGAGCCCAUAUUGCCUUGUCUUCUCCUGCUUAUUGAAUGCUUGCAGAUUCCAGCUUAGUCCAAUGCACGUGCACUAUUAUUAUUAUUCACAUUGUUCGGUCGUGCAAGUGAAAGGCAAUUAUGACGAUAUAUGAUGGACUGACUGAGAUGAGAAAAGCUGGUAUGAACUCGACCUUAUUUGUUUUUGUAAAUAUGAUUAGUUCAUCGUUCCUGAUUCAGCUUAUUAUGAAUAAACCUGUUUGCAAUGACAACUAGAGAUCAUAGUUUCUUGUGCCAUGCUUGAUUAGCUAUGAGUUAUAAUGGUUUUCCUUGCAUGCCAACAUGCUAUUAAAAUGGUUGUGAUGUGGUAUGAUAGUGUGGUAUCCUCCUCUGAAUGAUUUAAGUGACUUGACUUGGCACAUGUUCAUGCAUGUAGUUGAAACAAAAUCAACAUAGCCUUCACGAUAUUUAUGUUCAUGGUGGAUUAUAUCCUACUCAUGCUUGCAUUCAGUGUUGAUUAAUUUUAAUGCAUGUUCAUGACUGUUGUCGCUCUCUAGCUGGUCACUUCCCAGUCUUUUGCUAGCCUUCACCUGUACUAAGCGGGAAUACAGCUUGUGCAUCCAAUCCCAUAAACCCCAAAGUUAUUCCAGAUGAGUCCACUAUACCUUCCUAUAUGCGGUAUCUACCUGCCGUUCCAAGUAAAUUUGUAUGUGCCAAACUCUAAACCUUCAAAUAUUCAUCCUGUUUUGUAUGCUCGAAUUGCUCAUGUAUCAACUAGGGCUGUCUGUAUCUUCCAUGUUAGGCGGGUUAUUCUCAAGAGGAGUGGACUCCGCUCCUCACUCACGAGAAAGUGGCUGGUCACUGGGAUGCCCAGUCCCAUGCUUUAUGCAAACUAAAUCAAAAUAAUUUCAAACAAAACUCCCCCUGGGACUGUUGUUAGUUGGAGGCACUCCUUGUUUCGAGCAAGCCAUGGAUUGAUGCUUGUUGGUGGAGGGGGAGUAUAAACUUUACCAUUCUGUUUGGGAACCGCCUAUAAUGUGUGUAGCAUGGAAGAUAUUGCCAUCUCUUGGUUGUUAUGUUGACAAUAAAAGUAUACCGCUCAAAAUAUUAUUCAUCUCUAUUUCAAAACCGAGCUCUGGCCCCUCUACAAAUCCCUGCUUCCCUCUGCGAAGGGCUUAUCUAUUUACUUUCAUGUUGAGUCAUCAUCCUCUUAUUAAAAAGCACCAGUUGGAGAGCACCACUAUCAUUUGCAUUCAUUACUGUUAUUUUACAUUGAGUAUGACUUGACUGGAUCUCUUUUACCAUGAAUUACAAUGUCUAGUCAGUCCUUGGUCUUUAAAGAUGCUCUGCAUUUACGUUUUGCAGUCUCAGAAAGGGCUAGCGAGAUACCAUCUUGUUAUAUCAUAUUAUGAUUAUUUUGAGAAAGUGUUGUCAUCUGAGAUUUAUUAUCAUUGCUCGCUAGUUGAUUAUGCCAAUGAUAUGAGUAAACAUGAGACCUAAGCGUUAUUGUGAAUGUGGUUAGUCAUAAUCUUUGUUGAACACUUGAAUGCUGGCUUUACAUAUUUAUAACAACAAGAGCAAACAGAGUUUGUAAAAGUUUUUCUUUAUCACUUUCAGUUUAUCAACUGAAUUGCUUGAGGACAAGCAAUGGUUUAAGCUUGGGGGAGUUGAUACGUCUCCAUCAUAUCUACUUUUCCAAACACAUUUUCCCUUGUUUUGGACUCUAACUUGCAUAAUUUGAAUGGAACUAACCCGGACUGACGUUGUUUUUAGCAGAAUUGCCAUGGUGUUAUUUAUGUGAAGAAACAAAAGUUCUCGGAAUGACAUGAAACUUCACGGAACAUCUUUUCGGAAAUAAUAAAAAAUCCUUGCAAAAGAUGAAGACCAGGGGGCCCACCACCUGUCCACGAGGGUGGAGGGUGUCCCCCCUAGGGUGCGCCCCCCCUACCUUAUGGGCCCCCUGGAGCUCCUCCGAUCUCAACUCCAACUCUAUAUAUUUGGUUUCGGAGAGAAAAAAAUCAUAGAGAAAUAUUCAUCGUGUUUUACGAUACGGAGCCGCCGCCAAGCCCUAAAACCUCUCGGGAGGGCUGAUCUGGAGUCCGUUCGGGGCUUCGGAGAGGGGAAUCCAUCGCCAUCGUCAUCAUCAACCAUCCUCCAUCACCAAUUUCAUGAUGCUCACCGCCGUGCGUGAGUAAUUCCAUCAUAGGCUUGCUGGACAGUGAUGGGUUGGAUGAGAUCUAUCAUGUAAUCGAGUUAGUUUUGUUAGGGUUUGAUCCCUAGUAUCCACUAUGUUCUGAGAUUGAUGUUGCUAUGACUUUGCUAUGCUUAAUGCUUAUCAAUAGGGCCCGAGUGCCAUGAUUUCUGAUCUGAACCUAUUAUGUUUUCAUCAAUAUAUGAGUGUUCUUGAUCCUAUCUUGCAAGUCUAUAGUCACCUACUAUGUGUUAUGAUCCGGCAACCCCGAAGUGACAAUAAGCGGGACCACUCCCGGUGAUGACCAUAGUUUGAGGAGUUCAUGUAUUCACUAUGUGCUAAUGCUUUGUUCUGGUACUCUAUUAAAAGGAGGCUUAAUAUCCCUUAGUUUCCAUUAGGACCCCGCUGCCAUGGGAGGGUAGGACAAAAGAUGUCAUGCAAGUUCUUUUCCAUAAGCACGUAAGACUAUAUUCGGAAUACAUGCCUACAUUGCAUUGAUGAAUUGGAGCUCGUUCUGUGUCACCCUAUGUUAUGAUUGUUACAUGAUGAGCCGCAUCCGGCAUAAUUCUCCAUCACCGAUCCAUUGCCUACGAGCUUUCCACAUAUUGUUCUUCGCUUAUUUACUUUUCCGUUGCUAUUGCUAUCAUCACUACAAAAUACCAAAAACAUUACGUUUGCUACUGUUCCCUUUUGCUACCGUUACCACUACUAUCAUAUUACUUUGCUACUAAAUACUUUGCUGCAGAUAUUAAGUUUCCAGGUGUGGUUGAAUUGACAACUCAGCUGCUAAUACUUGAGUAUAUUCUUUGGCUCCCCUUGUGUCGAAUCAAUAAAUUUGGGUUGAAUACUCUACCCUCGAAAACUAUUGCGAUCCCCUAUACUUGUGUGUUAUCAGCUGCUUUCUGUGCCCACUUCAUUCCUCAGGGAGUCGUGGACCGGAAGAAGCGUGAGUUCCGCAGCCUCACCCAGGGCAACAAAACUGUCAAAGCUUAUCAGCGGGAGUUUCUGGAUUUAUCCUGCUAUGCUGAAGAAGACACUGCAACUGAUGCACGCAGACAGGAGAAGUUUCGUGAUGGCCUUCAAGCUGACAUCAAGCUCGCACUUCUAGUGCAUGACUUUGCUGAUUUUGCCACCUUGGUGAACAAGGCCAUCAAUGUCGAAAUUGGUCUGCGGGAACACCAGAGCUCUCACACGCGCAACCGUGACACAGGCUCAUCUUCGGGCCCGUCCUCGCAGAAGCAUAGGAUAUGGAUUCCCAACAGCAUGUACCAGCUAACUGCACCUGCUCCAAGACAGUCCUAUGCUGCAUCGCGUCUGCCUCCCCCACCAACUAGGCAGCUAACACUUCCAGCUCCACCAUCCCGAGCUCCUGUUCCCACUCCCAAUAAUGGUCCGUGCUACAACUGUGGUCAACCAGGUCACCUCGCCAGGAACUGCUUUCAGAACCAGAAUCAACUGGCCCUUCCCAUAGCUGGCCGUGGAAGCAACCAUCCCUGCAACACCAAUGCCAGGUCUUAUGGUCGUGUUCAUGCCAACCACAUUGAUCUCAAUAAAGCUCAAGACCAGCCUGCUACUGUGAUGGGUACACUCCUCGUAAAUUUAGUACCUGCAUCUGUUUUAUUCGAUUUAGCAGCAUCGCAUUCAUUCAUGUCAGAAGAUUUUGCAUACAAGCACGACGUUAGAUGUGAGGAUAUGAACACUUUGGUAGUGGUAAAAACCCCCAUCGGACAAUGUCAAACCUCCAUGGUUGGCAUCGACGUCCCCGUGGAAAUCGAAGGGAUGGAAUUCUAUGCCUCUCCCAUUAUCCUGAAGUCAUCUAACAUCGACCUCAUUCUGGGGAUGGAUUGGUUGAAAGCGCACACUGCUUCUAUAGUUUGCACCACUAAGACCGUCCAUCUGCUACACCCUUCUGAUGAAAUAGUUACUUACCAGGCUCAUCUGGUUCAGAAUGCCGAGGCACAGCUUUAUGCCUUGAAUGCAUUGAACGUUGCACCACUCGAGGGCAUUGAAAACAUUCCCGUCAUUUGCAAAUUCCAAGACGUCUUUCCGGAAGAACUUCCAGGGAUUCCCCCUGCUAGAGCUGUCGAACUCAUCAUCAACUUGAAACCAUGCACCACCCCUAUAGCCAAACGACCCUACAAGAUGCCACCGCAUGAACUCAUUGAGCUUAAGGAGGAAAUCGACAAAUCUCUUUGCAAAGGUUUCAUUCACCCUAGUUGCUCUCCUUGGGGAGCACCUUCUCUCUUUGUUAAUAAGACAGAUGGGACAAACUGAUUAGUCGAAGAUUAUCGUCCUAUUAACCAAGCCACCAUCCAGAACAAAUAUCCCCUCCCUCGAAUCAAUGAUCUUUAUGAUCAACUGGCGGGUUCAUCAGUGUUCUACAAACUCAACUUGAGGUUGGGUUACCACCAGAUCUGUGUUCGUGAAGAGGAUAUCCCAAAGACCGCCUUCGUGACUCGAUAUGGAUCAUACGAGUACACCGUCAUGUCAUUCGGCUUAAUGAAUGCUCCACCCACCUUCUCUCGUCUGAUGAACUAUAUAUUCAUGGAUUACAUCGACAAGUUCAUCGUGGUUUAUCUGGAUGAUAUCCUUGUAUUUUCCAAGAACAAAGAAGAACAUGCUGAACAUCUUCGCCUUGUGUUGGAAAAGCUUCGAGAGCCUCAACUCUACGCUAAGUAUUCCAAGUGUGAAUUCUGGCUCCCCGAAGUAACCUAUCUUGGGCAUGUCAUCUCCAAGGAUGGUAUUGACGUCAACCCUGAACGAGUCCAGGCUAUUCUCGAUUGGACUCCUCCGAAGAAUGUCAACCAAGUCCAAAGUUUUCUCGGUCUCGCUAGCUGUUGUCGUCGAUUCGUCAAGAACUUCUCCAAGAUUGCCAGGCCCCUGACUAACCUGUUGCAUAAGAGCGUCAAGUUCCAAUGGACAGACAAGUGUCAGGAAAGUUUCCAGGCGCUCAAAGACAAGUUGACUUCUGCCCCAGUGCUUGCUCCACCUGAUACUAAGAAGGAGUUCGUCGUUUACGGCGACGCUUCCCGUCAAGGAUUAGGCUGUGUCCUAAUGCAAGAGCGCAGAGUGAUUGCUUAUGCCUCUCGUCAACUGCGCCCUCAUGAAGAAAACUACCCAGUUCACGACCUCGAGCUUGCUGUUGUCAUUCAUGCUCUGAAUCAGUGGCUCUCGAUAAUCAUUGCGAGAUCUUCACCGACCACCAAAGUCUGAAGUAUCUGUUUACUCAGCCAGACCUGAACCUCCGUUGGCAGAGAUGGAUGGAGACUAUUGCGGACUUUGACUUGGGCAUCUCCUAUACACCAGGAAAGGAUAAUGUAAUGGCUGAUGCCUUGAGCCGCUAGUCUUACUGCAACCACCUCCAGGUUCAAAAAGUUCAGCCCUUGUUUGUCAAAGAGUUUAGAAAGUUGAACCUUCAUAUUGUCCCUCCUAGUGCACUUGCUCCCCCUCCCCCAGAGUUCUAAAAGAUGAAUCUUCGUGUUGUUACUAGGGGUUGUCUAAAUACCCUGGCUGUCGUAUCAGAUCUCGUAGACGGUAUAAAGACUAUUCAAGGUUAUGACUCUGAAGUCCAGAAGAUUAAACGCCAUCUCGCAGAAGGAAAGCCCUCAUUCUUCAAUGUCACCGAUGAUGGCGCCUUGUACUUCAAAGGCCGCCUAGUGGUACCAUGUUCGAGGAAAAACCUGGAUCGGACUAAAAAGGUUAUGAAAGAAGCUCAUGAUACUCCUCUGUCCAUCCAUCCUCGUAGUAAAAAGAAGUACCAGGAUAUUCGUUAGAGAUUCUGGUGGUCUAAUAUGAAGCAAGACAUUGCUCGAUAUGUUGCUGAGUGUGACGUUUGCCGCCGUAUCAACGCAUAGCAUCAAAGGCCUGCUGGAACUCUGCAACCUAUCACUAUUCUUGAAUGGAAAUGGGACCAUGUUGAAAUGGACUUCGUCACUGGAUUUCCCAAAUCGUAGAAAGGUAAUGAUGCUAUUCUUGUCGUCAUUGACCGGCUUUCUAAAGUUGCACAUUUUCUAACGGUCAAAGAAACAAUCACUGCUAGUCAGCUUGCAACUCUCUACAUGUCCAUAAUUGUUUCACUUCACGGUAUUCCACUGGUUAUCAGUUCAGACCGUGGCAGCUUGUUCACUUCAAGAUUCCAGACUAGUUUCCAAGAAGCUAUGGGAACUCAUCUGUCGUUUAGUACUGCGUUUCAUCCUCAGUCGCAAGGACAAGUUGAACGUGUCAACCAAGUUCUCGAAGACAUCCUUCGAGCUUGUGUAAUUUCCUUUGGCAAGAAAUGGGAGGAAUCUCUUCCGUAUGCCAAGUUCUCUUAUAAUAAUAGCUAUCAAGCUAGUCUGAUGAUGGCUCCCUUCGAAAUAUUAUAUGGACGAAGUGUCGAACCCCUCUGAACUGGUCAGAAACUAGGGAACGUCCACUCUUUGGUCCGGAUAUUAUCCAACAUGCUGAAGAACAAGUCCGCUUUAUUCAUGAGAAUCUCAAGACUGCUCAGUCACGUCAGAAGAGUCAGUAUGACCGUCAUCAUAAAGACAUGGUCUAUCAACCUGGCAAAAAGGCUUAUCUUCGAGUUACACCAAUGAAGGGUGCUCACCGCUUUGGGAUUAAGGGCCAGCUAGCUCCUCGCUAUAUUGGCCCAUUCACUAUUCUUGAAAGGUGUGGAAAAGUGGCAUAUCAACUGGAGCUUCCGCCGAACCUUUCUCAGGUUCACGAUGUGUUCCACGUGUCACAGCUCUGCCGUUGCUUCAAGGACCCAAUCCGAGUAGUGGAUUAUCAAGUGCUCGAAUUGCAACAUGACCUCUCCUAUAAAGAUCAUCUGGUCUGCAUUCUCGAUCAAGCCCAACACCGCACAUGUCAGAAGGCGAUCAAAUUCCUCAAGGUCCAGUGGUCGCAUCACUCUGAAGAAGAAGCCACUUGGGAACGUGAGGAUCACCUGCAUGCUGAAUACCCAGCAUUGUUUCCUUCUACCUCCUAAAAUCUCGGGACAAGAUUUCUUGUAGUGGAGGAGUUUUGUAACGCCCGGAUAGUUAAGCUACAGUAAAACUCUGUUAAUGAUGCCACGACACGUCCGUUACUGUUGCUAAUCUCUCGUUAGAUCAAAACCGAUUCGAAUUAUCAAUUCAAAAUAUGGCAAACAACAAAAGUUUUCAAAACAUUGUAACAAAAAAAGUUCGGUGGGUGCCAAAUAUUGCACUGGUAAUUAUUGUGGAGAAAACUCAUUUUUAGAAAUUGCCUAAAUAUUUAAAAAUGAUUUAAAACAGAAAAGAAAAUAAAUAAAAGAAAAGGAAUAAAA
Molecule: long non-coding RNA, 67523 nt
Filed under: Triticum aestivum (bread wheat)
Lineage: Eukaryota; Viridiplantae; Streptophyta; Magnoliopsida; Poales; Poaceae
Description: long non-coding RNA (TAES_LNC025917)
Rfam family: MIR1120/MIR1122 microRNA precursor family (bases 15863-15977)
Source: RNAcentral